Molecule: long non-coding RNA, 64977 nt
Filed under: Panax ginseng (ginseng)
Lineage: Eukaryota; Viridiplantae; Streptophyta; Magnoliopsida; Apiales; Araliaceae
Description: long non-coding RNA (PGIN_LNC000574)
Source: RNAcentral
UUUUUUGUAUAUUAGUUUAUUCAAUUUGCAAAAUUACUUUCAUGUAAAUCAAGUUUACAAAGUCCAUUAAGUAAUAUUUCAAUUAUGUACAAAAUAUUAUUAUUAUAAAUAGAACAACAAUUAUUCUUAAAUAUAAUACACCAAUUUUUGUUGUCGAGGGUUCUAAGUAGGGUAAAGAGAGAAUCUCCUCAUUCUCUCUAAUAAACCCCCCUCCUGCUGCCUCCUUCAUCUUCUCCGGCACCCUCCUCUCCCCUCUCCUUCUUGCGGCCCACCUACUCUUUUUUAAGUUUAGAUCUGAUCUUGAUGGGGCUUGGGGUUCUUUUGGGUUGUUUGGAUCCUCCAUUUUCCAUUUCGGGCUUUGUUUUCUCAUCUGGCCAACCCGCCUCCUCCUUCCUCCCUCCUCCUCCCUUUGGCCCACCACCCCUUCCACUUCCUCCGAUCACCACUGAAAUCCUUCCCAAGUUCUGUUAUAGCCUUUCUGGCUGCUGUUUCAUGGACCUGCUCGAACCUCCUUUUCCGAUCUGAGCUAUGCCAAGUCCGAGGGUUGCUAGAUUGUGGUUUUUCUUGUGCGAUUAGUAGAGGGCUUCGUUUCUGUGUGUGCUAGAGGUGGAGUCAUGAUCUGAAGUGAUGGACCUUUUGGGGUUUUUGGAUUGAGGUUCCGGAUCUUGAUGGAAAUCUCUAGGUCUUUUGGCUCUGGCGGUUACGGAUAUUUGGCUGAUCUGGGCUUUCGGCUCUCAUGGAGGCUUCCCCCUACUGAUAAUUUUUCGGAUUAACUGCCUUAUCCUCUUGAGUUAUCAUUUUAGGUGUUAUUGUUAGAUCUAUUUAUUUCAUUCAAAGGGAUUUAACUGAUUUAGGCAUCUUGCAUAUUUGAUGGCGAUUUACUCAGAUAUUGGAUGUCUUGCUAGUUAUUGUCUUUUGGGGAUAAUUUGGUCUCCUUUGUCAAUUGUCGGUGUUUGUUUGGCCGGAUUCUGGUGUCUGGUUGGAUAUGUGCUACUCCUUUUAUGCUUGCAGGCGUUCAUGGUGUUCGACGACUAUUUCGUUGCAGCAGUGAUUUUCCGGUGGCUGGUUUUCCUGUUCAAGACCUUUACCGGCUUUGGACGGUAGCUGCACUGGCCCAUCUUUGGCAGUGUGUAACUGUUCUUGGACAGCACAAUUGGGGACCACACAAAUUUGAAAUGUUGAUGCACACGGUGGUCCGAUUGUAGCACAUGUGUUUGGUGGCACUCAGUUUCCUAUGGCAAAGUGUUGCUGGUGUUGGGCUGAUGUAAGUGGGGUCCACGGUUGGCAAUUUGUGCCUUGUGGGCUGCCCCUCUUGGGCUGAUGCACUUACCUACUGAUGUAUUUCGCAGCUAGUCCAUUGUAAACAAAUGGGUCCCAGUGUGAUCCUUUUGUUUGCAGUAUAUUAUGUUUUGUUUCAAUUACAUAGCCUCAGGUUGUGAGGAAAAUGUAUUAAGGUUACAUAAUUUGUUUCCUAUUAUUUCUAGGUGUUUUAGCCCUCUUGGGAGAAGAGGACUAUGAUUUGAUCUUCAUUGUAAUAUCCAAAGGUUUUGGUUAUUUAAUAUACAAACAAAUUUAGCAAAAAAAUUAAAAUUUUGGAAAUAAUGUUUUAACGAGAACUGAAAUACAAUAUCUUAUUGAAUUAAUAGAUUUGCUCGUAAGCAAUGCUAAACUAUAAGUUUAUAUGGUUAAUGUAGCAACAUUUGCUUCAUUUCUUACAUAUAGGAUUACUUAUCUCUUGUUUAGCUUUCUUCUUUUACUUGGUCCUUUCAUAAAUCUAUAUUUAUAAGAACCAAAGCCAGUAUCCAAUACUCAAGUAGAACCUUGACUUAAAGAAAAUUUAUUUUAAUCAUGAACAAACCUGUAUACGUAACCAAAGAUUCACUAAGCUUCUUCUGGUUAGCCUCUGCAAGAUGCUUCUCACAGUUUCUUACAAAUGUCCAGGCUUAUUGCAGUGGAAGCAAACUCCUUUGUUAUCCGUAUCAGUAUUAGUAUUGUUCUUAUUAUCCUUUAUUUUUUUUCUUUUUAUUUACCUUCUUUGAAUCGUUCUUCUUUUUAGAAGAUCAUUUGGCCCCUACCAGUAAGACUUGGUCUUUUUUGGUUCGAAAGUGACUCUCAGCAUUUUUCAACAUGUUAAGCAAAUCAGCGAGACAAUCUAGCCCGUUCAUAUGAAAAAUUCACAAUAAUUGUGAGAAGGAGUCCGGGAGUGAGUGCAAGAUCAAAUCUUGGCUCACUCUCUAUCCAUGACAAAACCUGGUGUCCUAAUUAUCCAAUCAAAUUGAUCAUGUUAAGGAGUUUUUUCUAUACUGUAGUGCCUCGGUCAUUCUAGAAUUAGAAGAGCUCCUUAGAUAUCUUAUAUCUAUUAGUCCUACUUUCCUCACCAUCAACUACUUGAUGUGCAGGAAUAUAGUAAGAGCAUUCAUAGUUUCAUGUUGACGCUGAAGUUUGUUACUCAUGGAUGCAAGAAUGAUGAGCCAACUGUGCAUCAUCUUGCAACUUUUUAAAAGUAGCAAUCUUUUCCUCAAAGGCAUUGUCUGCAACCAUUGUAGGGAUAGGCAUAUUAAAGAAAUAAGAUAGUUUUUCAGUCGUGAGAACUAUUCUCAAUUUCCUUAACUAAUUCAUUUAAUUCAGUUCGAUUAAUUAGCAUCUAAUAUGCUCUGUAGUGAUAGUAAUUUAGACAUUGUAAAAUUUUAUAAAUGAACCUCACUUAUAUAGCUCGACAAAAUCUAAUUAGAGAUUUGCUAGCGAGAAUAAGAAUCCCAAUUUCAAAUGUAUAUAGUCUUGUGGUGACACAACAAACUAUAUAUAAAUAAAUAGGUAGACAACCAUUGCCAAUUACAUCAUCAUGUAACUACUUUUAUUUUGCCUCUUAGAUUAUUUUGAUCAAGUGGUGUCACAUCCGAAUCAAAAUUAUCCAAGUUAUGUGACACCCCUAAAUCCGGGUACUCCAUUCCCACAGGAAUUGGUGCUCACUAUCCAAAAUAAUCACAUCCAACUACCCAUAAUCUAGGAUAAAGACAUAAAUUAAAAAUCUUAAACAAUAAUCCUCCCCAUUAAAGAGUUACAGCAACUUAAAACAAAUUCCAGGUAAUCUAACCUUAAAUUAUUAUAUAAGUUUGCGGAAUACAUCAUAUAAUUAAAUAAGUCUUAUAACAUAGAUUCCAUUAAAUACAAUUAAACAAGUUUUCAUCAUUUGGACAUCUUGCCCUUGCCCUUGCUAAUAGACGACUUGUCAACUUUCUCAACUUUAGUUGCAAUGUAUAUGCAAGAGUGAGCAAACAAUUGCUCAAAAAUAUAAUGAUGACAAUAGAAAUAUCAUAGGAGUAAGCAAUGAAUACUGAAUAGUAAAGAAAUCGUUCUUUGAAUCAAGAUUAGAAAACAAGUUCGAGAUUUAUAUCUGAGGAUCUUAAGACCAUGAACUAUGUCCCAGAUUACUAAGUAUUUCUACCUCAACCUUUAAUAGUCAUUAGACUAUAAGGACCUUUCCUAUCGUAAUUAGGGGGAUCAACCCUUCAUACCAAGUAUUGUGAACAAACAUCUAAAUGCUAACGCGUAAAUAAUCCCCUAUAUUAGGGUUGUUCAUCUUAGUUUGACUUAAGAUUUCCGCACUAAAGAAAGUUUAGUUUGGAUUAGCUUAAUAAUGGUUCUAGAAUUUUAGAACGCUCAUCAACUAUGGACUAGUCAAUUCAAUAGAGGUUUUGUUGACUUAUGUCACACUCCAUGUUUUGAUGAUGACUCGAUUAUUUCUAAUCAAUGCUAUAUUAUUUCAGGGAAAGAUAUGGAACUUCAGAAAACGUCAAGGAAGAAGUUACAAAGCCAAGACAUCCUUGAAGAAAGAAAAGCAAAUUUGAGUCCUAGGAAUAUAUGUAAGAUCUUAGCAUUUAUUGCUUUCCAAAAUAAGGCUCUAGGACAUGUGCAUUACAUAAAUUGUAUUCUCACACUUAGUACCACGUGCUAAGUCACUUGCACUAAUAUACAUGGGCCGGUAUCCCAUUAAUUUUAGUAAAUAUCAUACAAUCAUCUUGACAUAUCUUAAAUCAUGCGAACUGACUAAAGAAACGAGUUGAUUGAAUAAUUUUCCACAAGUUAUAUAGCAGUAAUCAUGCUCCAUAAAUCUCGCCCCAUAAAUUCUAGUGAUUCACAUGGGCGAAAAUAUAUGGUUAGAUGUGGACACCGGCCAGCAGGUAUAAAAGGUAAGCAUAAAUCAAUGACAUUAUAGAUUCUCUAUUAAUUCACGCUGCACAGAUCAUGCUCAUAAAUUAAGCAUCUUAAUUCUAGGAAAUUAAUUUAGGUGCGUGUAUUAACAGACUCUGCAGAAAUCAAGGGUCAUGAUUUGAGAAAUCCAAUUGGCCAAAUCUAACAGUCCAAUGAAUGCUCAGUAAUAUGGGAACAUGGCAGGAAAUAUUUAUGGUAAUCCUAGAAGUUGACUUCCGGCAUUUUAGAAAUUGGACCGUAGAAAUCUGCAAAUAGAAAUCAUUUAGCCGAAAGUCACUGAUAGCAUGAUAUCUCAGAAUCUCUGUGAUGGAAAACAAAUUAAGUAUAUCAUGAUUCACGAAGGACAUUAAGAUUCAUGCAAAAUGUUAGCAACGGAACUAUUUGGGAGACGUCUAUAUAAACUGAGCUCUUUCACAAAUACAGACACGAAAAACAUACACAGAAACUGAUAAGCUUACAAGAUACGAGAUUGUUUUUCAUUGAGAUAGACAUUGAAUAACAGAGUUGCUGCUGCUUAAAUAUUCCGGUAACAUUCAUCUUGCAUAUCAUUUCAUACUGAAGCCUUGAGUUGGUGAGUAAUAUAUUGCUUGAUCAUUAGACCUCUAGUGUGUAUUUUUCAUUUCCUAUCUCAGUAAAUAUUACAUAUAAAUCUGUCUUGAAUUGCUGAUUUCUUACAAUCAAGUAUAAAGAAAGCAUAGGUGCUUAAGUGUGCAUAGGUGCACAGGGAACACAAGUGUUCAGGUUAUUAGAACUUGUAUUGUAAUUGGAAGAGUUUAAUAAAAGUGAGUCUCCAAUACUAGUUGGUAUUGGACGUAGACUAGACUACUAUUCUAGAGGGUAGUAGUUGAACCACGUAAAAAUUCUGGUGUUGGUGUGAUUGCUUUCUGUGAGUCUAUUUUGCUUUUCUAUCCAGCUGCCUGCCUUAGUAAAAUCAUCUAACUCAAUAAUAUCCUAAUUUGGUAAUCCAGCUUGCUGCAUUAAAAAUAAAAAUUGAACAUAGUUUGUACCUACACUUAUUCAACCCCCCUUCUAAGUGUAUCUAUUUAAAUUUCAUUUGGCAUCAGAGCUUGGCUCUACUUAUCUUGGUCUUAAAGGUGACUUGUAGGGAAAGAUUCUGACAUGGCACAACUUGGAAGCACUCAUCACGAGGGACAAUCAACAAACCGACCUCCACUACUCUUUGGAACUGAAAACUAUAACUUUUGGAAAUUUUAGAUGAGGAUCUAUCUAAAACGAGACCCAUGGGAAUGGUGGGUGGUAGAGAAUGGACCGGUAAUCCCAAGGAAAGAUGAUGGUACUCCAAAAACUCUACUCGAGAUGGACUCAACCGAAACUUAUAUGGUGUCAUAUGAUUCAAAGGCAAUGAACACUCUCCUCAGCGGCAUGGUGCAAUCCGAAAUAGAUAAAGUGUCAUCAUGUAAAACAUCAAAAGAGAUUUGGGACACCUUAGUUGUAAGUCAUGAAGGAACGUCUAAAGUACGAGAAGUCAAGCUAAGUAUGCUCAUGCAUGACUACGAAUUGUUCAAACUGGAAAAAGAGGAAACGAUCAAAAUGGCCCAAGCACGAUUUCUAGUACUGUUAAAUUCCUUAAAGUUACUUGACAAGACAAUCCCACAAAGUGAAAUCAAUCGUAAGCUACUUCGGGCCAUGCCCAAAAGGUUUGCAUCUAAAAUUACCACUCUUCAAGAUUCCCUCAAUAUUUCUUCUAUGGAUACAUUAACUCUCUUUGGUGAACUAGAAGAAUAUGAACAUCAAUUAAAAAUAUAUGAUGACGAGGAAGAAGUUCCUCGAAAGAAAGUGUUAGCUCUAAAUGCAGGAAUUGAAGAACUCGAAAAUAACUCGGAUGAUGAAAUAGCCAUGAUGUAAAGGAGACUUAAGGGGCUACUUCAAAGGAAGAAUCAACGGAAAAAUACUUUCAAUACAAACAAAUACAAACCAAAGCCAACCGAGGAAACAUGUUUCGAGUGUGGACGACCAGGUCAUUUCAAAAAGGAUUGCUUCCAACUCAAAAACAAAGGAAAGCAAGGCAACAAGGAGUUCAAAAAGCACAAAGCAUUUCUAACAUGGAGUGAUGAUGAAGAAUCCGAAGUGGAAAUAGAUGCAAACGAUGAACUAGCGCAAAUAUGCUUUAUGGGAAUUGAAGGUGAAUCUAGUAAGGUACCUCUUUCUGAUAGUAUUACUUUGAAACAAGAAAAUGAAAAAUUAAAAGAAAAAAACAUGUACUUAAAAGAUCUAGUAAACACACUAAUGAGCGAAGUGGAGGCACUCAUAGAUGAAAAGAAAGAUUUUGAAAAAUCUACACACACGAAUGAGGAAAAGAUUUUAUCAGCAAAAAAUGAUUAUUUAGAAAAUUUCAAUAAAAUAUUGUUCAACAAGGUUAAACAUCUAAAUAAUGAAGUUGAAAAAUUAAAGAAGGAGAUAGAGAUGAGAGAUGCGUGCAUUGAUGCUUUUGGCGAUGAAUCUAGUAAUAAAACUCCUCCGACUAAUAACCUACAAAAGGAAAUAGAGUCUUUAAAAACCUCUUUAGCUAAAUUCAUUCAUGGGGAAGAAAACUUAAAUGUUAUGCUAGGAAAACAAAGACCCAGUUACAAUAAACAAGGCAUAGGCUACAGUCCAACUCAUAGGAAAGAAGUUGAAAUGAUAAAAUCUAAAUCAUCAUUCAAAUUGAAUUACUGCACACCUUUUACGUCUUGCAAAAAAUGUGGCAUUAAAGGACACCUAGAGAUAAACUGCUCAAGAAAGAAAAGUUUAAGUAAAACCGUAUGGAUUAAGAAAAGUGAUUUGAUGUCAACUAACACAAGUGGACCCAUAAAGAUAUGGGUACCAAAAAUAUAAAUUGUAUCUCUAUCAUACAGGUUUGACUUAAAGCCAAAGUAUCUUCUCAAAAGUUGAGGCUUGAUAGCGGAUGUUCACGCCAUAUGACGGGAGACAAAUCUAAGUUCGUGAAACUAAAUGUCAACAAGAAACAUGGAACUGUUAUAUUCGGUGAUAAUCGAUCAUGCGAAAUAAUUGGAAAAGGUAAAAUCGGUAAUGGUAAGGUUAACAUUAAUAAUGUUCAUCUUGUUAAUGGUCUAGAAUUCAAUCUUAUCAGUGUUAGUCAAUUAAUGGAUAAUGGUCAUCAAGUAAAGUUUGAAAAAGAUAAAUGUACAAUUUCACAUGGUACUAACAAAGCUGCUCUAGUUGCCCAAAGGGAAGGGAAUAUAUAUACGCUUGAUUUUGAGAAACAGGAAGAAGAGUUAUGUCUUGCAACCAUUCAAGAUGAAGCAAAUAUAUGUUAUAGAAGGAUGGGACAUGUUCAUAUGGAUCUAAUCAAGAAGUUGUCAACAAAGAACCUAGUACGAGGAUUACCCAAAAUGAAUUUCGAAAAGAAAGGUAUCUGCGAACCUUGUCAACUUGGAAAACAAGUAAGAACGUUAUUCACAGCUAAAAACAUGGUAUCAACUUCUUCUCCCUUACAAUUGCUUCACCUCGAUUUUUUAGACCUGAAAGGCAUGCUAGUCUAAAUGGAAAAUUCUAUGCUUUUGUAAUAGUCGAUGAUUUCUCUAGAUAUACAUGGGUAUUAUUCCUUAGAACAAAAGAUGAGGCAUUUAAGGAGUUUGAAAAACUGAUUAAAAAUUUGGAGACCAAAUAUAGUCUUAAUCUUAUUAGAAUCAGAAGUGACCAUGGUACCGAAUUUCAAAAAGACUUUNNNNNNNNNNNNNNNNNNNNNNNNNNNNNNNNNNNNNNNNNNNNNNNNNNNNNNNNNNNNNNNNNNNNNNNNNNNNNNNNNNNNNNNNNNNNNNNNNNNNNNNNNNNNNNNNNNNNNNNNNNNNNNNNNNNNNNNNNNNNNNNNNNNNNNNNNNNNNNNNNNNNNNNNNNNNNNNNNNNNNNNNNNNNNNNNNNNNNNNNNNNNNNNNNNNNNNNNNNNNNNNNNNNNNNNNNNNNNNNNNNNNNNNNNNNNNNNNNNNNNNNNNNNNNNNNNNNNNNNNNNNNNNNNNNNNNNNNNNNNNNNNNNNNNNNNNNNNNNNNNNNNNNNNNNNNNNNNNNNNNNNNNNNNNNNNNNNNNNNNNNNNGAAACUGCUGCCAAUCCAGCCUACCAGAUAAAGCAAAACAACAAGAUCAUGGAAUCAAUCCAGGAAGAGGAAAUAGAAGAGCAGCAGGACCUAGACUCUAUCCAGCAAGCUGAAUAUGAGAAUCAGGAGCAUAUCCAGCCAGCUGAAAUGGAUGAACAACAAGACCACAAUUCUGAAUCUACUGAAGAAGUCAUACAUGAUAUUCAACUUCCAAAGUGAGCAAGAUAUAUCAAAAACCAUCAACCUGAGAACAUUAUUUGAAACAUAAACGAUAGAGUUAUAACAAGAAGAAAAGCAUAAAACAUGUGUGCUUUCACAGCAUUCAUAUCCCAAAUUGAGCCAAAGAACGCCAAAGAAGCAAUACUCGAUGAGAGCUGGCUUUUAGCUAUGCAAGAAGAGCUUCAACAAUUUGAAAGAUGUCAAGUAUGGGAAUUGAUGCCUGCUCCAAAAGAUGUGUCCAUUAUCGGAACUAAAUGGGUAUUCAAAAACAAGCUUGAUGAAUACGGAACAAUUAUGAGAAACAAAGCGAGAUUAGUUGCUCAAGGAUACAAUCAAUAAGAAGGAAUAGACUAUGAAGAAACAUUUUCUCCAGUAGCUUGCUUCGAGUCUAUUCGUAUCCUACUAGCAUUCGCCUAUUUCAGAAAGUUUAAGCUACACCAAAUGGACGUAAAAAGUGCUUUUCUCAACGGAUACAUAAAUGAGGAAUUAUAUGUAAAACAGCCACCUGGAUUUGAGCAUGACAAGUUCCCACAUUACGUAUACAAACUUAAGAAGGCACUCUAUGGACUCAAACAAGCCCNNNNNNNNNNNNNNNNNNNNNNNNNNNNNNNNNNNNNNNNNNNNNNNNNNNNNNNNNNNNNNNNNNNNNNNNNNNNNNNNNNNNNNNNNNNNNNNNNNNNNNNNNNNNNNNNNNNNNNNNNNNNNNNNNNNNNNNNNNNNNNNNNNNNNNNNNNNNNNNNNNNNNNNNNNNNNNNNNNNNNNNNNNNNNNNNNNNNNNNNNNNNNNNNNNNNNNNNNNNNNNNNNNNNNNNNNNNNNNNNNNNNNNNNNNNNNNNNNNNNNNNNNNNNNNNNNNNNNNNNNNNNNNNNNNNNNNNNNNNNNNNNNNNNNNNNNNNNNNNNNNNNNNNNNNNNNNNNNNNNNNNNNNNNNNNNNNNNNNNNNNNNNNNNNNNNNNNNNNNNNNNNNNNNNNNNNNNUACAGGCUGUUAAACAAAUUUUUAAAUAUUUGAGUGGUACGACAAAUUUAGGAUUGUUCUACCCAACAUGCGAUAAUUUUGAUCUAAUGGGCUAUUCAGAUGCUGACUAUGCAGGCUGUCAAAUAGAUAGAAAAAGAAUAAGCGGUGCAUAUACAUUUUUGGGCCAAAGUCUUGUCUCAUGGCAUAGCAAGAAACAGACGUCAGUUAUUCUAUCCACUACAGAGGGGGAAUACUUAGGAGCAGGAAGUUGCUGUUCCCAAAUCUUAUGGAUGCGUCAAACAUUGUGCGACUUUGAUAUUACUUGUGAAAGUGUGCCCAUAUACUGUGAUAAUACCAGCACCAUAGAUAUUUCAAAAAAUCCAGUACUACAUUCCCGCACAAAACACAUAGAAGUACGUCACCAUUUUCUUAGAGACAAUGUGUCCAAAGGUUUAAUAAGAUUAAUAUUCAUUCCUACUGAACAUCAAUUAGCAGAUAUCUUUACAAAACCUUUAGGAGAAGACUGGUUCUGUACAUUAAGAAGAGAACUAGGGAUGUGUCUGAUAUAAACACAAUCUGCAUGAGUUAAGGAAAGUAGACAGUCACGACAUAUCUAUAGGCCAUAAUGACAUUCAUUGAAUCUGCCCAAGAUCUUCAUUCCCAAGACACGGCAUCACGACUUCCCAAAUCUCGGUAACACACGUCCUUUAAAAGGUAAAACUCUACUUUACUAAUUCAAGCUAUGUGACGCCCCCAAAAUAGGUAUACAACACCCAUUCUGAGUCGCCAAAAUACAUGGUAUAGAAAGCAAACUACAACUUUGACAAUACAGAUGUCGUGUAGAAUACGACAAUACAACUGUGAGUUUGAAUACAAAUAUUGUCUUCUAGACAAUAUACACACCCAAAUAAGUCCUCAUUAAUUAUUCAUACACUAUUUUACAGAAAUAGUGAGGACAGCUAAAACAUCUUCCUAGAACCAUCACUCCAUACCCCGACUCGAUCCUGCUAUGUUCUCACCUCCUGAGAAGAAAAAUGGAACAAAAAGGAAAAGGGUGAGCUCAACUAGCCCAGUAAAGAAUAUUAUGACUAAGAUAAUAUACAACAAAUUAUCGUUAGUCUUCAACAGGGAAAAAUCUAAUAGAAUACAAUAGACAACAAGUUUUAGAUCAACAAAUGCAGCGGAAACAGCAAUCCAUUAGAAGAGUCACGUAGAGAAAGAAUUCUACUGUCUUCUAAGGUUUAAAAGUCCAUCAUCAAUAGUUUAUCCCUGUAAUAACAAUCAAUAUACAUCUUUAAUCAUCUUUGCACUACAGGCCAAAGAUAUUCAUUUGUAUCACCAGUUGGUCAUGUUCAUCUCAACACCUGUUCAUCUUUGCACUACAGGCCAAAGAUAUUCAUCAGUUAAUCGUUCAUCUUUGCACUACAGGCCAAAGAUAUUCAUUUAUAUCACCAUUUAGGACUGAGGAUGAUGAAAAACAUUUUUAAAGAAACGAAUCCAGUGAAACAAAAUGACAAGGAUUAAGGAUUAAGGAUUCGUACUUUGUUUUACCCAUGUCCAAAAAUACUUCGAAAAUAAUCAUAUUGGUGUAAAAUUCAAGAAUGAUCAAAACAUGGAUACAAUCAAAGCUAGUAUCCAGAAUAGAUAUUUUGGACAAAAAGAAAAAUUUUUAUUUUUCGGUGAAUAGUGCCGUAUUCGUGAAUAGUGUCGUAUACGUGAAUAGUGCCGUAUACGUGAAUAGUAACCCCGACACAACAAGUUCCAAAUUUGAUAAAAAAGUUCACCAAUACUUCGGCAUAAUGAUAUUGAAGAAAAAAUAUCAUUUAAGAAGAAAAUAAUACCCCUUACCUCAAAAUAACCGUACUUCUGACUGAAUUUCGGUAUAGUGCUGACAGAAACCCGCACCGUAUAGCAACACUCAAAGUAUACUCACAAGAAUACGCUCGAUAAUUUAGAGAGAGAAAGAGAGAAAACUUAGUUUCUGGUGUGAUUUUCAAUUCUAACUUAGCCCUCUAUUUAUAGGAAAAUGUUAGAACGCCAAAGGAGACUAAAUUAAUAAAUUAUUAUUAUUUAAAAUUACAUUUCUACGCAUGCCAUUUGAACACUUCAGCCACCAGCCAACCUUGACCCAAUUUCCAGCAGCCCACAUGUUCAAACAAGAGUGGGUCCCACCCAUUAUUUAAUAAAAAUUAUUUUAUCUUCCGAAACUUCAAUAAUUCGUAGAAAAUAGCUCGUUUAUCAGAAAAAUUCGAAACUCGCGACUUUCCAUGGGAAAUUCCAUUCUCUACAACUUUGCAGAAGAAAAUUUUUCCAAAUUCCAAACAGAAAUUGACCGAAAUCCAUAAACGGGCGAUUUUACAGUCUAUAAUCAAUUUUCGGUCAAGAAUUGUGUCCACCGACACACAAAACAUAUGUUAAACAUUUAAUGCCACAAAAUACUCUACCUCCUCAUAUACUCAUAUAUCCCACAUUCAUUAUAAAAAUAUCACCGUUAAUAUAUUAUUAAAAUAAUAUAUUUAAAUGAAUUAUUUUAUCAGAAAAAGAUAAAAUAUUAAUUUUCAACAAUUGUCACAUUAAAAAUUUUCUCCAUCUAUAUCCACAUAAAAUAAAUAUUUUCUUUAUCAUAAUAAUCAAUAAUUAAUUAUUUAAAAAUAAUAUUACAGAAUCACAGUACUGACAACCAGGCCGUUCCCAGGAAAGAGGGGGCUUUCCAAUAAGGAUUUCUCCUUACUGGCGCGCAAUUAGGUGACCAAACCUCUCCUUAGACAGAACUUUCUAGACAUUGCCAAUAAUGUUAUCUGAUAAUAUUAUUCAAAUAAUAUGAAUUAUUGAUUUGAUAAUGGAAAAUACUGUGUAAUGACAAUUAUUGAAACAACAGCAAUACAAAAUAUCAACGCAGCAAUUAUUGAAUCAAUAAAAUAUAAUAUUGAACAGUAACUACUGUAACAAUUAUUGAGUAGUGCCUUCUUACGUAAGGAUCAAUAAUUCAAUAAUACUGUGCAAUACCGUGUGCUACUGUGCAACCACGCGUAUUACUGUAUUUUAACCACCAGGUAACCCAACAGUGUUAACGGUAACAAUUUACGUCGUUAUUUAUAAAACUCAAUCUUUGUCGUUUUCCUUCAUCCAACCGUUUUCCGUUAUGGGGCCCACCAAUGACUGCGCCGUCGUACGGAGAUUCCCGACAAAAAGAAUAUUCCACGACCAAACGAAUAUUCCCCGACAAUAAUGAAUAUUUUAUAACCACUUGCUUAUUUUGUAAACUUUGCACAUUUCACCCAUAACCAAAGAAUUAUAUCAAAUUAACCCUUAUUAAUUUAGAAUAAUGAAUAAAGGAAAAUUCAAUUUUAUUUAUAAUAAGUUGGGGUCUUACAACCUCCCCUCCUUAUGAAAUUUCGUCCUCGAAAUUGACGUACGUACCUGGUAUAUCGAAAAGGUGAGGGUACCUCGCUUUCAUCUCCGAUUCCAACUCCCAUGUCAUUUCCUCAAUUGCAUGGUUUCUCCACAAAACCUUAACUUGUGGUAUAACCUUCGUGCGUAAGACAUGCUCUUUCCUAUCCAAAAUCUCAACAGGUAUCUCCUCGUAGGUUAAAUCUUCAGCUAUCUCGUCUGGUUCUAAUGCAAUAAUGUGGUUCGGGUCUUUCACAUAUUUACGAAGCAUAGAUAUGUGGAAUACAUUGUGAACACGAGACAUACUUGGAGGUAACGCGAGUCUAUAGGCUACGUUUCCUAUUCGGUCAAGAAUCUCAAAUGGACCAACAAACCUUGGAUUGAGCUUUCCUCUUUUCCCAAAUCUUGUAACUCCUUUCCAUGGAGCAAUACGUAACAAUACAUGAUCUCCAAUAUUAAACUCCACGUCCUUUCUAUGAAGAUCAGCAUAACUCUUUUGUCGAUCUUGUGAAGUUUGAAUACGUUGUCGAAUCAUUUGGAUCUUUUCUGUAGUCAUGCGUACUAAUUCUGGUCCCAACAAUGUUGCUUCUCCCACCUCGUCCCAGCAUACUGGAGAACGACAUUUUCGUCCAUACAACGCCUCAAAUGGAGCCAUGCCUAUACUUGCUUGAUAACUGUUGUUGUAGGAGAAUUCCACCAGUGGUAGGUACUUAUCCCAACUUCCUUUGAAAUCUAGGACACAGAGUCUUAAUAGAUCUUCAAGGGUUUGAAUAGUCCUCUCUGAUUGUCCGUCCGUUUGAGGAUGGUAUGCUGAACUGAAUCGUAAAUCCGUGCCCAUAGCUUUCUGCAAGCUAACCCAAAAUCUUGAAGUGAAUCUCGGGUCACGAUCCGAAACUAUGGAUACUGGCAUGCCAUGCAAUCGUACAAUCUCAUUCACGUACAUACGAGCAAGACGUUCAAGGGGAUAAGUCUCGCGUAUCGGUAAGAAAUGGGCAGACUUGGUUAAUCUAUCAACAAUAACCCAAAUUGCAUCUACGCCUUGAGAAACUUUGGGAAGACCUGUAACAAAAUCCAUAGUAAUGUGUUCCCAUUUCCAUUCCGGAAUCUCAAGUGGUUGCAAUGGACCUUUUGGCACUUGAUGCUCCGCCUUUACACGUUGACAGGUUAAACAUCUUGAGAUAAACUCCGCAAUCUCUCUCUUCAUAUUGUUCCACCAAAAUGUAUGUCGAAUAUCAUGAUACAUUUUGGUACUCCCAGGAUGGAUUGCAAACGGGGUGUUGUGUGCCUCCAUCAUGAUUUUAUGCUUCAGGUCAGAAUCGUUAGGAACGCAAAGUCUAGAAUUGACUCGAAGUAUUCCUUCCUCAUCAAUUCUUGCUUCCGGAAUAGCUCCUUCUUGCACUUUCUUCUUCAUACGCAUCAGCCCCAGGUCCGUAGCUUGAGCAGCUUUAACUUUAUCGAUUAAAGUCGGUUCUACUUGUAUAUUCGCCAUCAUUAUGUGGGUCCCUGGAGUCUUUAAUUCUACCUCCAUCCUUUGCAAGUCAUACAAAAUGGGCCUUUGCGUUGACAAUAUCGCACUCGUACUUGCAUAUGAUCUUCUACUUAAUGCGUCAGCUACUACGUUCGCUUUUCCAGGAUGAUAUUGAAUAGUGUGAUCGUAAUCUUUUAACAGCUCCAGCCAACGUCGUUGCCGCAUGUUGAGUUCUUUUUGGGUGAAGAAAUAUUUGAGGCUUUUAUGGUCCGUAUAAAUCUCCACUUUCUCUCCAUACAAGUAGUGUCUCCAUAUCUUCAACGCGAAUACGACUGCUGCCAACUCUAGAUCAUGAGUAGGAUAAUUCCUCUCAUAUUCUUUGAGUUGUCGUGAGGCAUAGGCUAUGACUUUCCCAUGUUGCAUGAGAACACAUCCUAACCCCUUGCCAGAAGCAUCGCUGUAGAUAACAAAUCCAUCUGAACCAGAUGGUAUUGUCAGAACAGGUGCCGAAAUGAGUCUCCUCUUGAGCUCUUGGAAGCUCUUCUCGCAUUCCUCGCUCCAUAAGAAUUUUGCAUCCUUCCGAGUCAGCUGAGUUAACGGAGUAGCGAUUCGAGAAAAUCCUUCCACAAAUCUCCGAUAAUAACCAGCUAAGCCCAGAAAGCUGCGUACUUCGGUCACCGACUUCGGUUGCUCCCAACUUUGUAUUGCUUCAAUCUUCGCCGGGUCAACAGAUACUCCUUGUUUUGACACCACGUGCCCAAGGAAUGCUACUUCCUCAAGCCAGAACUCGCAUUUCUUCAGCUUGGCAUAAAGCUUGUGUUCACGAAGUCUUUGUAGUACCAGCUUCAAAUGGUGCUCAUGAUCUUCACGGCUUUUGGAAUAGAUGAGGAUGUCAUCAAUAAAGACAACAACGAACUGAUCCAAAUAUUCCUUAAAUACACGGUUCAUCAUAUCCAUGAAAGCAGCAGGAGCAUUAGUCAAUCCAAAAGACAUGACCAAGAAUUCAUAAUGCCCGUAUCGAGUCCUGAAUGCCGUCUUUGGAAUAUCCUCAGUUUUAAUCUUCAGCUGAUGAUAUCCAGAACGAAGAUCGAUCUUUGAAAAGAAUUGCGCUCCUUGUAACUGGUCGAACAGGUCAUCAAUGCGAGGUAGCGGAUACCUAUUCUUGAUGGUGACAUGGUUCAAUUCUCGAUAGUCAAUACAAAGUCGCAUACUCCCGUCUUUCUUCUUUACGAAUAAAACAGGAGCACCCCAAGGAGACGUACUAGGACGAAUGAAACCGAUGUCUAAUAACUCCUGUAGUUGGACUUUUAACUCCUGAAGUUCAAUAGGAGCCAUUCGAUAUGGGGUUUUAGAAAUGGGCUUUGUACCCGGUUCAAGGUCAAUAAAGAAUUCAACAUCACGUUCUGGGGGUAGACCGGGAAGCUCUUCAGGAAAUACAUCAGGGAAUUCUCUAACCACAGAAAUAUUAUUCAAAUCUGACUUGUCUUUAUUCAAAUCCAUAACAUGGGCUAAGAAAGCUUGACAUCCGUUUUUCAAUAAACGAAUAGCUUUGUGGCUUGAUAUGACAGUGACUGAUUUUAGUGGUUUAGUGGUUUGAAUUCGUAUGACAGGUUGGUUAGGAAUAUGAAAACUAACAACCUUACGAAAACAAUCAAUUUUGGCAUGAUGAGUGGUUAACCAAUCAAUUCCUAAAAUCACAUCAAAAGCAAGUAUCUUUAAAGAGAUAAGAUCAACAGGUAAUGUGAUAGUGCCAACUUGGAUCAUGCAAGAUUUAUAAACUGUAGAUGUAACGAAGGUUUCACCCAACGGAGUUUCAACAGAUAAAUCAAAAUCUAAUUUCUCCGGAGUCAAGUUUAAACGUUGAGCACAAGCAGGAGAGAUAAAAGAAUGGGUAGAACCGGUAUCUAGUAAGGUAUAAACUUCGCAAGAAUUCAAGAUUAGCUUACCCGUGAUCACCUCGUUUGGGUUCCUCACGUUUUGUCCAGUCACGACAAACGCUCUUCCAGGAACCGCUGAUUUCGACUUAUCCGGGACAGCCCUUGGAAUCACCACUCCUGCUGAACUUGGUUUCGCGAUAGUACAAUCUCGAGCGAUGUGGCCUUCCUUUCCACAGUUGUAACAUACCUUGGAUUGUUGUGGACAGUUUGGGCUGAUAUGUCCCUCCUUCCCGCAUUUGUAACAUCUAACUGGCGGUCGUUCUCCUCCCCUAGCAUUUGUUGUUGGUGCUGGUGCUGCCGUUGAUAUCUUCCCGUCAUUGUUGAAUCUUCUCUUUCUGAAAUUUCCACUUGAGUCACCUCUCCUAUUAUCAUGUCCACGAUUACCACCUGAGUGGUUACCGCCUUUGUCCGUAUUCUUUCCUCCUCGCUGGUUAUCAUCGUUCUGAUGACUACCCUGAUUGUGGUCCCUCGGUUGAGUAUACUCACUAUCUCGCUCUAAUAACUGAGCCCUGUUGACAACAUCUGAAUACAGAGAAAAUUUAUGAGAGAUAAGGUAUUGACGAAUCUCUGGUUUUAGACCUCUCAGAAACAUACGCGUCAUUCGUUCCUCAUUCUCCACCAAAUGAGGUGCAAACCUGGAUAAUUCUGCGAACCUUGCCUCGUACUGAGACACCGUCAUGUUGUUCUGUUCGAGUCUAAUAAACUCUACCUCCUUCAUAUGACGAAUACUUUCUGGAAAGUACUUGUCAUUGAACAGUUUCUGAAAUCUUUCCCAAGACAUGUUAAGUGCAUCUGGCUGGGUACGCUUCACAGAUUCCCACCAGUAAUCUGCUUCACCACGAAACAUAAAGGUGGCGAAUGGAACCUUCUGUUCCUCCGUGCACCCCAAGACAUCGAAUAUCUUGGUAAUUUGCUUGACCCACGUUUCUGCCUUGAUCGGAUCCGGCUUUCCAUGGAAAUCUGGUGGUCCCAACUCUUUGAAUUGUUUGGCCGUGACAAACCGCACGUUACUAUCAUUUCCUCCCGUAUUUUGUACACGAGUCUCCCUCGUCUGAUUUUGCAUGAACUGCAAAAAGCUUCUAAACAUCCCGUCGUUCAUCAUUUGCUCAGUGGCGUUGUUCACAGGAGGAACAUUGCCAGCCUGUUGCACGUUCUCCUCGUUGGUGAGUACCGGCGUCUCCACGGUCUCAUAAACUCCAUUGUUAACGUUCUCAGCAGCCAUUCUUAAAUACUGCCAUAAAACAAGGGUUAAUUAAACAAAUUAACAUAUCACAUAAUAUCCUAUAUUAUGACCGACCAACAAAUAAGCUUAGGUAGGACACACUAGCGAAGGAUUUACUCGUCUCUCCCCUCCUAGUUCUAUUCCCCGAUCUCCGCCAGAGAUCAUAUCCCUAAGCUCUGAUACCAACUGUGACGCCCCCAAAAUAGGUAUACAACACCCAUUCUGAGUCGCCAAAAUACAUGGUAUAGAAAGCAAACUACAACUUUGACAAUACAGAUGUCGUGUAGAAUACGACAAUACAACUGUGAGUUUGAAUACAAAUAUUGUCUUCUAGACAAUAUACACACCCAAAUAAGUCCUCAUUAAUUAUUCAUACACUAUUUUACAGAAAUAGUGAGGACAGCUAAAACAUCUUCCUAGAACCAUCACUCCAUACCCCGACUCGAUCCUGCUAUGUUCUCACCUCCUGAGAAGAAAAAUGGAACAAAAAGGAAAAGGGUGAGCUCAACUAGCCCAGUAAAGAAUAUUAUGACUAAGAUAAUAUACAACAAAUUAUCGUUAGUCUUCAACAGGGAAAAAUCUAAUAGAAUACAAUAGACAACAAGUUUUAGAUCAACAAAUGCAGCGGAAACAGCAAUCCAUUAGAAGAGUCACGUAGAGAAAGAAUUCUACUGUCUUCUAAGGUUUAAAAGUCCAUCAUCAAUAGUUUAUCCCUGUAAUAACAAUCAAUAUACAUCUUUAAUCAUCUUUGCACUACAGGCCAAAGAUAUUCAUUUGUAUCACCAGUUGGUCAUGUUCAUCUCAACACCUGUUCAUCUUUGCACUACAGGCCAAAGAUAUUCAUCAGUUAAUCGUUCAUCUUUGCACUACAGGCCAAAGAUAUUCAUUUAUAUCACCAUUUAGGACUGAGGAUGAUGAAAAACAUUUUUAAAGAAACGAAUCCAGUGAAACAAAAUGACAAGGAUUAAGGAUUAAGGAUUCGUACUUUGUUUUACCCAUGUCCAAAAAUACUUCGAAAAUAAUCAUAUUGGUGUAAAAUUCAAGAAUGAUCAAAACAUGGAUACAAUCAAAGCUAGUAUCCAGAAUAGAUAUUUUGGACAAAAAGAAAAAUUUUUAUUUUUCGGUGAAUAGUGCCGUAUUCGUGAAUAGUGUCGUAUACGUGAAUAGUGCCGUAUACGUGAAUAGUAACCCCGACACAACAAGUUCCAAAUUUGAUAAAAAAGUUCACCAAUACUUCGGCAUAAUGAUAUUGAAGAAAAAAUAUCAUUUAAGAAGAAAAUAAUACCCCUUACCUCAAAAUAACCGUACUUCUGACUGAAUUUCGGUAUAGUGCUGACAGAAACCCGCACCGUAUAGCAACACUCAAAGUAUACUCACAAGAAUACGCUCGAUAAUUUAGAGAGAGAAAGAGAGAAAACUUAGUUUCUGGUGUGAUUUUCAAUUCUAACUUAGCCCUCUAUUUAUAGGAAAAUGUUAGAACGCCAAAGGAGACUAAAUUAAUAAAUUAUUAUUAUUUAAAAUUACAUUUCUACGCAUGCCAUUUGAACACUUCAGCCACCAGCCAACCUUGACCCAAUUUCCAGCAGCCCACAUGUUCAAACAAGAGUGGGUCCCACCCAUUAUUUAAUAAAAAUUAUUUUAUCUUCCGAAACUUCAAUAAUUCGUAGAAAAUAGCUCGUUUAUCAGAAAAAUUCGAAACUCGCGACUUUCCAUGGGAAAUUCCAUUCUCUACAACUUUGCAGAAGAAAAUUUUUCCAAAUUCCAAACAGAAAUUGACCGAAAUCCAUAAACGGGCGAUUUUACAGUCUAUAAUCAAUUUUCGGUCAAGAAUUGUGUCCACCGACACACAAAACAUAUGUUAAACAUUUAAUGCCACAAAAUACUCUACCUCCUCAUAUACUCAUAUAUCCCACAUUCAUUAUAAAAAUAUCACCGUUAAUAUAUUAUUAAAAUAAUAUAUUUAAAUGAAUUAUUUUAUCAGAAAAAGAUAAAAUAUUAAUUUUCAACAAUUGUCACAUUAAAAAUUUUCUCCAUCUAUAUCCACAUAAAAUAAAUAUUUUCUUUAUCAUAAUAAUCAAUAAUUAAUUAUUUAAAAAUAAUAUUACAGAAUCACAGUACUGACAACCAGGCCGUUCCCAGGAAAGAGGGGGCUUUCCAAUAAGGAUUUCUCCUUACUGGCGCGCAAUUAGGUGACCAAACCUCUCCUUAGACAGAACUUUCUAGACAUUGCCAAUAAUGUUAUCUGAUAAUAUUAUUCAAAUAAUAUGAAUUAUUGAUUUGAUAAUGGAAAAUACUGUGUAAUGACAAUUAUUGAAACAACAGCAAUACAAAAUAUCAACGCAGCAAUUAUUGAAUCAAUAAAAUAUAAUAUUGAACAGUAACUACUGUAACAAUUAUUGAGUAGUGCCUUCUUACGUAAGGAUCAAUAAUUCAAUAAUACUGUGCAAUACCGUGUGCUACUGUGCAACCACGCGUAUUACUGUAUUUUAACCACCAGGUAACCCAACAGUGUUAACGGUAACAAUUUACGUCGUUAUUUAUAAAACUCAAUCUUUGUCGUUUUCCUUCAUCCAACCGUUUUCCGUUAUGGGGCCCACCAAUGACUGCGCCGUCGUACGGAGAUUCCCGACAAAAAGAAUAUUCCACGACCAAACGAAUAUUCCCCGACAAUAAUGAAUAUUUUAUAACCACUUGCUUAUUUUGUAAACUUUGCACAUUUCACCCAUAACCAAAGAAUUAUAUCAAAUUAACCCUUAUUAAUUUAGAAUAAUGAAUAAAGAAAAAUUCAAUUUUAUUUAUAAUAAGUUGGGGUCUUACAAGCUAUCCCUCUCUUCGCCGUCUGCCUCAUCACAUUCUUUCCCGUCUCCCUAACCCCAACCACAAAGAUGAAAACAUGACGAACCAGACAAAUACAUGACGACUCGGAGGAUGAGAUAUCUCUACCAUCGCAACCCCUUCAUCCCACUACUUCUCGACGCAUGAAAAGGAAGCAGCCAUCGGUCCAAACCAUCUCAGGCGACUCCUCUCCGGCUGAAUCUGAGGCUAGUCUACCUUCUCCUCCACCGAUUGGGACCUCCAUGGUCACAAAACGAAGAAUAAUCAAGGAUCCGUCCCGUAGCUCUCCUCCUCUGACGGUAAACCCUCUCCCUGUCUCACUGCAUGAUAUCCCUGAUGAUUUUUUUAGAGGUCACAACUUUGAACUUAGGUUUAAGUCAUCCAUAUGUCACAAAACCUUUGUCUAUGAAAAAUCAAUAGACAUGUUUUAUUAUCAAAACUCACCCCUGCACCGCCUUUUUGAGUCAUGUGGUCUAUCCUCUUUAAGCACUGCUCCUUCGGUCGCUUAUCCAAAAUUAGUCCAGCAGUUUUAUACAAAUCUUGAGAACAAUGGUGAUUGCUACACCUCCUUUGUGAAAGGGAAAUCUCUGUUUUUUACAGCCAUGGACUUAGGUAGUAUUCUGUCCAUUCCUUACACCGGUGACUGCCCCUUUACUCUCAAAGGACCAAUCUCUAAUCCCUUAUCUCCCGUAGUCCAGCUUCGCAUUGUGUUGGAUGACCCAAUAGUCUCCUCUGUCACUCUUCCAAAAACCAUCGAAGUGUCCCCCCUUGCCAUUGUCCUUCACAAACUCUUACGCUACAAUCUCCUCCCCCGUCUCGGUGGUGGAGCAGACUUCACGUAUUAAGAUUUAGUCCUCGUGGCGUUAAUAAUGACUGGCCAGCCUUUUAACUUCUCCCUCAUGAUGCUAAAACACAUGAUCCAUUACGUUAAACACUCCAAAAAAUGUCUGCCUUACAGUUGUUUCCUUACCAAACUCUUCACUCAUUUCCAAAUCCCACUCGAUGAUGAAGGUUGUAUCACCUUAACUGAUUCCAUAGACUCAAAUUAUCUCAAAGGGACUCAUCUCACCUUGCUUAAGGGAAAAUUCAUCCGUCUGGUUCCUGAUACACCUAAACCCAUACCUCCUAUCUCCCUGCCUAUUUCCCCUAAAAUUUUGACUCUCCUUCACACCAUAGCAGAUAAUCAAGCCCAAAUCACUUCGGAUGUCAAAGACAUCCAACUCCGUCUCUCGGUUCUUGAAAAAGGCAAACUGCCAAUUCGGUGUAAUGAUCUCCAGGCCAUGUUUCGCAAUGUUGAAGAUGUAUUUAUUGACCUCCAAGCUGGUUUCGAGAUGCACACCAGGGCAAUGUUUGAAGCCCUCCAACGCAAGAUGAAUCGCAAUGCCUGUCAGCUAAGCACAAAACUCAAGUUCAUCAGCAACCAAGUUGGGACUCUGGGCCAGUUCACCGAGCGACGCAUGAAUGACCUGAGUGAGGAACUGCAAGCAGACCAAGUCCAAGCGCGCAUACCCGAAUGGCCCCAAUGCAAUUGGAUGGCUGAAUAUCAAGGCGACUUUCUGGAUCUGCCCUUACCUCCUCCCACCUUCAUUGCUCGCCCACCCUGUUUUGCCAAUACCAUGUCCCUGGAAGAGAUCAUGCACCGCCGACUUCACCGCCCCUACUUCACAGCUCGCGAGGCCAGUCAUGUCAACCUUGAGGAGGAGGACGCUUAGUUUCACUUUCCCUUUUUGGCAUUCCUGACCCUCCUUUUUGAUGGAUGCCAGAGGGGGAGAAGACUUCCAGUUUAAAGUUUAAACCUUCCCCCUGCCCCAAAGACAAUUGUUUUGAUUAAGACUAUGGUUUAAAAUUUUUGCUAUUAAGACUAUUAGUUUUAAACUUGUUAUUUGAUGGAUGAUGGAUGUUUUUCAUUAUUGCAUUUUUUACUUAACGUGUUGAGGCCUAAACAGUACUUGCAGGGUUGAUCAAAAUACUGCACAUAUGCAGUACAUGGUAUGCAUGAACUAAGGGGGAGCCAUAACUCUCCUGAAGUGCAUAGUCUUAGGGGGAGCUAUAUUUAUUGUGUUGUCAUCAUCAAAAAGGGGGAGAAUGUUGACUUAUGUCACACUCCAUGUUUUGAUGAUGACUCGAUUAUUUCUAAUCAAUGCUAUAUUAUUUUAGGGAAAGAUAUGGAACUUCAGAAAACGUCAAGGAAGAAGUUACAAAGCCAAGACAUCCUUGAAGAAAGAAAAGAAAAUUUGAGUCCUAGGAAUAUAUGUAAGAUCUUAGCAUUUAUUGCUUUCCAAAAUAAGGCUCUAGGACAUGUGCAUUACAUAAAUUGCAUUCUCACACUUAGUACCACGUGCUAAGUCACUUGCACUAAUAUACAUGGGCCGGUAUCCCAUUGAUUUUAGUAAAUAUCAUACAAUCAUCUUGACAUAUCUUAAAUCAUGCGAACUGACUAAAGAAAUGAGUUGAUUGAAUAAUUUUCCACAGGUUAUAUAAUAGUAAUCAUGCUCCAUAAAUCUCGCCCCAUAAAUUCUAGUGAUUCACUUGGGCGAAAAUAUAUGGUUAGAUGUGGACACCGACCAACAGGUAUAAAAGGUAAGCAUAAAUCAAUGACAUUAUAGAUUCUCUAUUAAUUCACGCUGCACAGAUCAUGCUCAUAAAUUAAGCAUCUUAAUUCUAGGAAAUUAAUUUAGGUGCGUGUAUUAACAGACUCUGCAGAAAUCAUGGGUCAUGAUUUGAGAAAUCCAAUUGGCCAAAUCUAACGGUCCAAUGAAUGCUCAGUAAUAUGGGAACAUGCCAGCGAAUAUUUAUGGUAAUCCUAGAAGUUGACUUCCGGCAUUUUAGAAAUUGGACCGUAGAAAUCUGCAAAUAGAAAUCAUUUAGCCGAAAGUCACUGAUAGCAUGAUAUCUCAGAAUCUCUGUGAUGGAAAACAAAUUAAGUAUAUCAUGAUUCACGAAGGACAUUAAGAUUCAUGCAAAAUGUUAGCAACGGAACUAUUUGGGAGACGUCUAUAUAAACUGAGCUCUUUAACAAAUACAGACACGAAAAACAUACACAGAAACUGAUAAGCUUACAAGAUACGAGAUUAUUUUUCAUUGAGAUAGACAUUGAUUAACAGAGUUGCUGCUGCUAAAAUAUUCCGGUAACAUUCAUCUUGUAUAUCAUUUCAUACUAGAGCCUUGAGUUGUUGAGUAAUAUAUUGCUUGAUCAUUAGACCUCUAGUGUGUAUUUUUCAUUUCCUAUCUCAGUAAAUAUUACAUAUAAAUCUGUCUUGAAUUGCUGAUUUCUUACAAUCAAGUAUAAAGAAAGCAUAGGUGCUUAAGUGUGCAUAGGUUCACAAGGAACACAAGUAUUCAGGUUAUUGGAACUUGUAUUGUAAUUGGAAGAGUUUAAUAAAAGUGAGUCUCCAAUACUAGUUGGUAUUGGACGUGGACUAGACUACUAAUCUAAAGGGUAGUAGUUGAACCACGUAAAAAUUCCGGUGUUGGUGUGAUUGACUGUGAUUCUAUUUUGCUUUUCUAUCCAGCUGCCUGCCUUAGUAAAAUCAGCUAACUCAAUAAUAUCCUAAUUUGGUAAUCCAGCUUGCUGCAUUAAAAAUAAAAAUUGAACAUAGUUUGUGCCUACACUUAUUCAACCCCCCUUCUAAGUGUAUCUAUUUAAAUUUCAGGUUUACUAGUCAUUCAAAGUUCGAUACAACAUCUAGAUAUUGAGUAAGAUUAUUUAAGAUCAAGAAUGGAAUCACAACAAUAUAUAGUUGAAUAAAACAUUGUAUAUCCAAUAGACUAUCUUCAAAGGAAUUAAAGAGUCUCGUUCGAAAUAAUGAACAUUUCAAGCUUUGAAUUAAUAAGAAACAAUGAUUAGAUACUUGCUCAAUAUGAAUAAACAACUUGAGCCAUCUUAACCAAACAAUAUCAAGUUCAAGAUUAGGAAAUUUUCUUAGUGAAAAGUAAGAUUUAGAUACUUGCAUAACUAUAAUAAACAAGAUAGGAUUAAAACCAUGUUUUUACUAGUUUUCUUCAUAUUUCAACAUGUUUAGCGAAUUUAAACACAAAAUCCUAGUUUCUUAAACAAAUCAGUCCAUUACACAUGCAUUAUUUUCGUUUCUUGACAUAUUAACACAAUCCAUAACCAAUUUCAUAUUACCAUAUACUUCAAACAUAAAUUUUAACUCCAAAAUCAACCUUUUAGUACAUAUUCAACCAAAAACCUAUUUCUUCUUCUUAAACAUGUCUAUACAUGAAUUUGAUACUCCAAAAUCAUUUGUAAACAACAUAUAACAAAUUAUAAACUAUCUAUAACAUACAUAACAACGAUUCUAAUAAAUCAUCAACCAAAUUUUCCCUUUUCCCCAAGAAAAACUCAAGAAUAUAAAACAUGAUUUUCAUGAAUUUUCUUACUGAAAAUAGUUUCUAAUUCAAUAACUAUCAUCUAAUUAACAUCCAACAUCAUAUGUGGUUAACCAAACUCAGCCUUAUGGCUUUUGGCCUAAUGUAACCGAUAGACGCUUGGUUUUGUUAACUAACGUAUGUGGGAGUCAGUUUAGCCAGUUUAUAUUUACGCGUCUAUUUCUGUUUAGGCUAGCUAAGUACAGAGAGUUGGAGAGGAAGAGAAAAACACAGUGAAAAUUGAGAGAGAUUCUCUGUGAUUUUUGUCAAAGAGAAAGAGUUGGAGCACUAAGGGAAACACGCAAUCCUUUAUCAUCUUUCUUCCCAAUAAUCAAGGUAUAGUUACUCCUAAUAUUCCAUGUUUUGGCUUCUCAAUGAUUAUUCACUGUAAAUUGAAAGUCACGUUGGAUUGAUGUUUAUACAUGUAUCUAUGGUUUUAUAAUCUGUUAAUUAUCAUAAAUAUGUAAUAUUUGGUGAUCAAAUACUAGAAAAUUGGGUUUGAAGAAGAAAAUUUAAUAACAAUGUUAUGUUUAUGUAAAUGGCUUGUGUAAGUCCAACUUUUGGUGUUCAAUUAUUUAUAGAAUCUGUAAAUUGGUUGUAGAUUGUGAUAAUAUGUUAAGAAACAAAAACGACAUAGUUUGAAUGGUGUAAUUUGGUUACGAAACAAGGAUUUGGCGGUUGAUUUCGCUAAAUGUGUUAAAAAUGGAGAAAAUAACAAAAACAUGGUUUAAAUCCUUAUAAUUUUGGUUGUUUUGUUGUUAGAAGUGUUAUGUAUAUGCUUAGCAAUAUUGAAGUAAGUUUGUAGCUAUUGAUUUUAAUGAAUUGUUGUGGAAUUGGGAGAAAUUUGAACUUUUGGUUAAAAGCAGAGCUUCAAUUCACGUUACUGUAAAACUGGUUCUGGUGUCUACUGCGGGGGCACUGCCUCUGGGCGCGGGCGCUCUGCCUCUAGGAGCGGGCGUGCUGCCUCUGGUCGCGGCCGCGCUGCUGCGCAGGCAUGCCGGAUUCUAAGAAAAUUAUAGCGCGGCCUCGCCAGUAGUUAGUCAAACCUAGUAGAGAGCUGCUAGCAGCAUAGCUUGCAAAUUGUUAACUUAACAUAUUCUAAUGAUUGUAAGGGACCUAAAACAUGUUAUAAGGCAUUACAACAUGUUGUAAUCACAAAGUUGAAACUAUAAAUUAUGAACUAAUAAGUUGUGAAAGUUUGUAAUGUGAUGUCAUUUGAAUUGGAAUUAGUUUGCAAUUACCAGGUCGUAUACCAGGAUAUAAUUAAGAAUUCAGUUUCGUGCUACGUGAAUGAGUAGGAUAACCAAGUCCUAAGUUAAGGAUUAUAGACUUGAUUAAAAUGAAAACUAAACUAAUGAAAUUGAUGUUAAUAUAACUAAUUAGUAUUACGAUUCUAAUGGUAUAUGUAGGGUAAUUGGCGAACGUUUAUUAUAUUUGUGUAGCUUUCACCCGAGGCAAGUUUUUUAACUUCAUUCCAUUUAUAAUGAAUGCGAGUUUCUUAUCCUAGACUUUUAUUGCGGAAGUUUUCUAACUUCAUUAUAUUUAUAAUGAAUGCAAGUUCCAUAAUUCCGUUAUUUUGUUAUUAUCAAGCAAGCUUUCUAGUUCUAAAUUAUCAUUUUGAAAAUCCUAUAUUACAGUUGAGAAAGCCUAUUGAUUCUAUCUCGUGUAUGAAUGUACAAGCUCUUGUAAUCUAGUUCGUUACAUCGAGCGAGUUUUACUUUCCUAAGUCUUGUUAUUAUUAUUCAAAGUAUAUAUUGUUCUAAUACAUUGAUUCAAAUGAGAUUGUUCUAACUCUUUUGAAUAUAGUACAUUGCAUGUAUACCAUGUCUACACAAUUGUACAUUUCUAUUAUUUGAUCUUUGACUUAGAUAACCUUGUCCAAUUCUAUAUUGUUAUAUUAAACCUUCAAGUAUUAAGCAAAACUCUUAUUAAUUGAACUAGUCUAUAAUGGAAUAGUGUUCUAAAAUUCUAGAACCACGGAUAAGUUAGUUCCAAGCUAAACUUUCUUUAGUGCAGAAAUUCUAAAUCUAAACUGAGACGAACAACCCUAACAUAGGGGAUUUUGUACGUUUAAAGUUAUGAUGUUUGUGCACAAUACAUGGUACAAAGGGCUGAUCCCCCUAAGUAUGUUAAGAAGGGUCUGUAUAGUCUAAAUGGCUGUUAAGGUUGGGAUAGUAAUACCUAAUCACCGGGGACAUAGUUUGUGGUCUUAAGACCCUCAGAUAUUAAAGUUCGAACUUGUUUUCUAUUUUGAUUCGUAGAACAAGUUCACCAUUGUUCAGCAUUUGUUGUUCACUCUCAUGUUGUUAUUAUUGUUACUCUUUAUAUCAGUGAGUAAUUGUUUCCUCACUCUUGCAUUUAACACUGCAGUUAAAGUUGAAAGAGUCGAUGAGCCAUCUACUAGCAAAGGAAAGGGCAAGAUGUCCAAGUGUUGAAGAUUUAUGAGAAUUUAUUUAAAUGAAUUAUGUUAUAAGAUGUGACAACCCGAAUAUUUGGAUAUUUAUAAAAUCUUAAAAGGUUGAAUUUAGGUUAAAUAAUAAACCUAGACAUAAAAUUAGUGAAUGGAUUUGAGAUUUCCGAGAAGGAAUUUUGUGAAUUUAAAAUUUAUGUGGUGAAUUAUUCAGGAUUAAGUAUAUACGUGAAUAUGUUCUAUGUAUAUGGUUAUAUAUAUGUGUACAGUAUGUGGUUAAGGGUCAAGGGUUGACCAGAUAAGCUAUAUCUAUGGAAAACCCUAGUAUUAUAUUAAGAACAUCAACGUUCAGCUAGAAAAUUCUUACGAUUUAUAAGAAACCCUAAAAACCAGUUUUGGAAACCCUAAUUUUAGUUCCGGGAAUCCGAAACCCUAAUUUAGAAGUUGAAAACCCUAAUUUGGGAGCUUGAAGAUAAGUAUAAAGGUUUUUAUGUUAUUGAUUAUAUGUUUAAUUAGGGAUAACCCUAAUUGAUUAUUAGAAAACCCUAAUUGUUCAGCUGGAAACCCUAAUGCAUGAUUAUGGACUAAAUUGCUAAAUUAGCAAUUUUAAUUAGGAAAUGUUAAUCCUAAUUAGCAAGCUUGAAUUAGUAAUGAUUAGUAAAUUUUAAUGUAAUUAGAAAAUCAUAAUUAUAAUUUAGAAAUAUUAAUUUUCUAUUUUGAAAACCGAAAUUUGGAAAUCUUAAAAAUUAAAUUGCAAACCCUAAACCCUAAGGGUUAAUCCCUAAACCCUAAGGGUUUGGACAAUUGACAUGUAUGCCAUUAAAACUAAAAUCAUAAUGACUAAAGUACCCUUUUUGUAUUUUUAUAAGUUAGCUUGCAAAUCUUGCCAAGAUAUUGGGUUGUUGACCAACUCAAUAUACACCAUGUGCCAUAUAUUAGAUAUAUCAGCCAUCAAUUUCCAGCAAGCUACAUUGUAUCACAUCAUUUAUAUAGAUUAAGAGAGAGAAAAUGCAUACUUUAUUUCUAAUUUUCUCCAAUACUUUCUUUCUCCAAAAUUUUCGAAAUCUAGAGUGAGAGAGAGUGAGAAACCAAGCUAAGAUCAGUUCAUAGCAAGCCUUGAUCAGAAACCAAAGAUCAGAUUUAAGAUCAAAGCUCAAAAAGGUAUAAAAACCCUAAACCUAGAAAUCAUAUGAUUUGAUGUUAGAUGUAAAACACCGAAUUUUACGAAAUAAAAGUAUUCAAUUUUCUGAUAAUUGUUAUUCUAUUUAGUAAAUGAUUAAAUUGAUAAAAGGUUAAAGUUAAAGGUGAUAUGUGACAGUUAUUCAAAGUAAGCAAGUUGUCAUAAAAUAAUCGGUGAUAAAAGUACAGUAAUACGCGUGGUUGCAUAGUAGCACACGGUAUUAAUUAUUGAUGUGUACGUGAGAAGUCACUCAGUUAUACUCAAUUACUGCUACAGUAGUUGCUCCAUAAUAUCUCUCAUAUUAUUGAUUCAAUUAUUGUCACAGUAUCAUCUGCAUAAAAUUUUAUAUUAUUAAAUCAAUAAUUGAGAUGACAAAGUUAUUCAUAUUAUUAUUUGCAAUAUUAACGAUGUCUAGAAAUUUAUGUCGAGGAGAGGUUUGGUCACCUAAUUGCGUGCCAAUUGGGAGAAAUCUUUAUCGGAAAGCCCCAUCUUUCUUGGGAAUGAUCUGGUUGUUAAAUAUUGUAAGUUAUAAUAUUAAUGAUGAAUAAGUUCGUGUUGAUUAAAGAUGAAAUUGAUAUUUCCAUUGUGUUGGGAUUAUGAGUAUUAGUGGAAAUCGACAUCUAUUAUGAUAAUAAUUGAUGUCUGGAGGUUAUAUUAACCAAUCGGGUAAUUAAUCGGAUAAAUGAACAAUUAAUUUCUAUUAAUUCACAUGCUUAUAAUUAUUUGUUCACAUAUAUGUACUAUUGAUUCACAUGCAUGUACUAUUAGGGGAGGUGGUGCAAGAUUGAUAAUACUUGCAUGACUAAAUUAAAAAUGGAGGUAUAGAUGAAGGUACUAUACUGUAAUUAUUUUUUUCACAUGUAUAGAACUAUUAAGUCACAUGAUUGUACUAUUGAUUCACAUGAUAUACUAUUAGGGGAGGUGGUGCAAGUUUGAUAAUACUUGCAGGACUAAAUUAAAAAUGAAGGAAAAGAUGAAGGUAUUAUAAUGUAAUAUUUCGAGCCCCAAAACGUGCAAUUAUCGAAACUAUGUUUUCCUAUAAAUAGAAGCUCAUUCUUCCUUCAUUCUCACCAAUUCACUAAGACUCACAAGAGCAAUUAUAGAGAGAGAAGCUAUAGAGAGAGAAGCUAUAGAGAGAUAGAAGAAGAGAAGUCUGCUACUUCACUAUUCCAGUAUCCAGUCUUCUUCUAAGGUAAGGGAUAUUAUUUGUUAUAUUCGUAAGGGGUAUUAUUUAUUUUAUAUUCUGAAGAGAUAUUAUUUUUCUUAUUCGUACGAAUAUUAUUUUCGUUCAAUAUUCGUAAGGGGUAUUAUUUCUUUCGUAUUCAUGAAAAGAGUUUUUUUUAAUACUUGUAAGGGUUGUUAUUCCAUUCUUUAUUAUUCUGUUGGAAAAACCUGUCUACACGGACUACCACAAGCAUGGUGAAAUUCUUCGGUUAUUCCAUUCUUUAUUAUUCUGUUGGAAUAACCUGUCUACACAGACUACCGCAUACAUGGUGAAAUUCUUCUGUUAUUCCAUUCUUUAUUAUUCUGUUGGAAUAACCUGUCUACGGGGACUACCGCAUGCAUGGUGAAAUUCUUAUGUUAUUCCAUUCUUUAUUAUUCUGUUGGAAUAAUAUGUCUACGCGGACUACCACAUGUAUGGUGAAAUUCUUCUUUUAUUCCAUUCUUUAUUAUUCUAUUGGAAUAACCUGUCUAUGGGGACUACCGCGUGCAUGGUGAAUGACCCUUUGUGACGCCCCCAAAACAGGUAUACAUCACCCAUCUUGGGUCGCCAGAUACAAGGUACUAAAUACAAAUACAACUUAAUUAUACAACAGUCGUGUAAAAUACGACAAAACAUAGGCUGUGAGUUUUAAUACAAAUAUUGUCAUCUAGACAAUAUCCACACUCAAUGGAGUCCUCAUUACAUUUAUUAUCACACUAUUUCACAGAAUAGUGAGGACUACUAAUGCACCAUCUAGGACCAUCACUNNNNNNNNNNNNNNNNNNNNNNNNNNNNNNNNNNNNNNNNNNNNNNNNNNNNNNNNNNNNNNNNNNNNNNNNNNNNNNNNNNNNNNNNNNNNNNNNNNNNUAAUCAUCAAUGGUCAUGACUAUACCGAAUAAUCCCUGGUCAUAAUCAUACCAACAACUGUCCAUCAAUGAACUACAGGCCAAUGAGGACUUUUACCACAUCAUUCGUCACAUUACGGUCAUGAUUAUACCGAAUAAUCCCUGGUCAUAAUCAUACCAAGUCCAUCUAUGCACGUAAGACAAAGAUGACUUUCAACAUAAUAUAAGCAUGCAGAUGAUGACAAUUCAAUAAAACAAGUUCAAGAAUAAAUUUUAAAGAUUUAUAAGUUAAUUUAUCCUGAACUCAAUAACGUCCAAAUUGACAACAUAAUAUUGCUUUGUGCAGUAAAAUUCAAGAAUGCUCAGAAGAAUAUUUACAUGAAAAGAUACUGGAUGAAGCACAAAUAUUAAGGAUAUUCCACUAAUUUCAUGGAGUAUAGAAGCUAAAGCUUUAACCAACUGAGUAUAAUAUAAUAUAUAAAACUACAAUUCACCCGCCAUGCGGUAAUCCAUGUAUACAGAUCAUCUCCACAAUUUAAUAAGGAAUGAAUACACAGGAUCAUUCACCAUGCAUGUGGUAAUCCAUAUAGACAGGUUAUUCCAACAGAAUAAUAAAGAAUGGAAUAACAGAAGGAUUCACCAUACGUGUGAUAGACUGCACCGACAGGUUAUUCCCAACAGAAUAAUAAAUAAUGGAACCAGGUCCGGCGUAAACACACAGACAGGAUAUUCCGACAGAAUAAUAAAUAAUAUGGAACCAGGUCCGGCGUAAACACACAGACAGGAUAUUCUGACAGAAUAAAUAAUGGAACCAGGUCCGGCGUAAACGCACAGACAGGAUAUCCCGACAGAAUAAUAAAUAAUGGAACCAGGUCCGGCGUAAAUGCACAGACGGGAUAUUUCGACAGAAUAAUAAAGAACGGAAUAUUAGAAGAAUUUCAUUAUGUAUGCGGUACUUUGCAUAAACAGGUUAUUCUAACAGAAUAAUAAGAAUGGAAUAACAUAAGAAUUUCACCAUGUAUGCAGUACUUUGCAUAGACAGGUUAUUCCAACAUAAUAAUAAAGAAUGGAAUAACAGAAGAAUUUCACCAAGUAUAGGGUAUCCCGCGUAUACAGGUUAUUCCAACAGAAUAAUAAAGAAUGGAAUAACAGAAGUUCUCUUCAUGAAUAAGAAAGAAAGUAUACCCCUUACGAGUACAACAAAUAAUAUCCCAUACCUUAGAAAAACUGAAUACUGAAGUAGUGAAGUAGCAGAAUACUUUUCUUCUUUCUCUCUAUAGAUUUCUCUCUAGAGUUUCAGUGAAUUCGUAGGAAAUAAUGAAGGAAUGAACUUCUAUUUAUAGGAGAAUGGACUGAAUAGUAACUAAAUAAUGAACGGUCCAGAUUGAUUUACUAUUAUAUCUUCAACCAACGGUCUAAAAAAUUAGCACAUCUCCUCAUGGAAUAAUAUUGUACCAAAAAUGAUUUGGACCGAACAGAAAUAUAUCUUACGGGUGAAUAGUACCCUGUGAAUAGUAACUUGUGAAUAGUAACUCAUGAAUAGUAACUCGUGAAUAGUAACUCGUGAAUAAUAACUCGUGAAUAGUACUCCGACACAAAAAGUGUCCCGAAUAUCCAAUUGAACAAUAUAACCUCCAAACAUCAAUUAUACUAACACAAAUAAGUCCAACACAAUGGAACUAUAAAAUUCAUCCUUAAUCAAUACGAACUUAUUCAUCAUUAAUAUUAUAAUUCACAAUAUUUAACAACCAGGUCGUUCCCAGGAAAGAGGGGGCUUUCCGAUAAGGAUUUCUCCUUAUUGGCGGGCAAUUAGGUGACCAAACCUCUCCUUGACAAAACUUCUAGACAUUGUCAAUAUUGCAAAUAAUAAUAUGAAUAACUUUGUCGUCUCAAUUAUUGAUUUAAUAAUAUAUCAUAUUAUGCAGAUGAUACUGUGACAAUAAUUGAAUCAAUAAUAUGAGAGAUAUGAUGCAGCAAUUACUGUAGCAAUAAUUGAGUAUAACUGAGUGACUUCUCACGUAAGCAUCAAUAAUCAAUACCGUGUGCUACUAUGCAACCACGCGUAUUACUGUACUUUUACUACCGGGUAGUUCAACAGUUUUAACGGUAACACCUCCGCCAUUAUUUUUAUAGAAAGAUAUUUUUGUCAUUUUCUAACUACGACAAUACUUCCAUUGUGGGGUCCAUCAAUGAUUGUGCCGUCGUACGAAUAUUCCCUGUUAAAAUGAAUAUUCCCCGACCAAUCGAAUAAUAUAUAACCACUUACUUACUUUUCAAAAUUUAUAAAUACUAUCCACAACUAUAAUAUUAUAUCAAAUCCACACCAUAGUAUUAAAAAAUUAUUUCGACAAAAUUAAAUAUUUAUUCAUAAAAUCUGAGGUCUCACACCCUUAGUGUUCAUUCUUUAUUAAAUUAUGGAAAUAAUAUGUUUACGUGGAUUACCGAAUGGCGGGUGAAAAUCCAUUUACAGUUUCGUAUAUUCUUUUAUACUCGUAUGAGAUAUCAUUUCUUUUAUACUCGUCAUGGAAUAUCGUUUUCUUUUGUAUUUUCCUUUUAUGGGUACUAUUCACGUAUACAGAACUAUUCACAUAUAUGGUACUAUUUAUGAAUACGAGUUACUAUUCAGGAGUUACUAUUCACGAUAAAAUUAGUUUCUUUUACUGACCAAAUUAUCAUUGAUUUAUGAAUCUUACUCUUGAAAUUAAAUCCAUGUUUUGAUCAUAUUGUUUUUAUUAUCAUAUAUAACAUUUUUAUAAUCCUGGUGAUGAAAUUUCUCUUUGACUUAAGUGUAAAGAUGGGUAGAUUAUUGGUAUGAUCGUGACUAUGGGUUCUCUUUGGCAAGUAGUGCAAAGAUGAAUUGUUGACUGGUAUGAUCAUGACCAUUGAAUUUAUAAUUGAAUAUCUUUAGCUUAAGUGCAAAGGUGAAUUGAUCAACAUGGUUAUAAUUAUUGUUUAUAUAAAUUCUAAAAUGAUUAUAUAUUUAUUUGAGAUAUUAAUAUCUUUGGUCCGUAGUGCAAAGAUGACCUGUUGUUUAAUAUCUUUGGCCUGUAGUGCAAAGAUGAAUUGUUGUUGAAUAUCUUUGGUGGUAGUGCAAAGAUGACCUGUUGUUGAAUAUCUUUUGGCCUGUAGUGUAAAGAUGAACUGUUGAUCAAUAUCUUUGGCCCAUAGUGCAAAGUUGAAUUUAUUAGUAUGAUUAUGAACAUGAACUGUGAUUUGGUAUAACCAUGAUCUUUGAUGUUUCAGGUAAAGACAUGUGAUGAAAAUUAUCUUCGUCCUGGAUGUGAAGAGGAAUUUAGAACCACAAUUAUGAUUAUGAGUUAUUCACAUGAUUGUGGGUAGGAAUUGUUAAUUGAUGUUACAGGGUUAAAACAUUGUUGGUGGACUUUUAACAUGGAGAAGAUAAUAGACUUUAUGGUCUAUUUGACUCUUCUAAUGGAUUGCUCGUUCCGCUGCAACUAUGGUUGAAAAGUUUUAUCAUCUACCAUAUGUUCUAAAUCUCUGAUUUAUUAUUGACGAAGGCUAUUGAUAAUUUAAUUAUCUUUAGUCAUGAUAUUCUUUAUUGGGCUAGUUGUGCUCACUCUUUUGCUUCACAAUUCCUUUCAGGUAAUAAGAGUGUAGCUGGGUCGAGCAGGGGUAAUAAGGGAUUAGAACGGUGGUCUAUAGUUAUUGAGGUUCUCCCUAAACAGUAUUGAAAUAAUUUUAUGGAGAACAUUACAUAAGUGUGUUGUAUUUUAUACAUCAUUUAAUAGUUAUAAUUGGUGAAUCAAAUAGAGUGAGGCGAACCCAACUUUGGAAGGGUCUUUUACCACCAUCAUACAAGAUAUCUAAUGACAUACGACUUCGUGUUAUCAUAAGACAGGGUUGUGCACAUCCACUUACUGAGUAUAUCUACGAGCACUACCUAUAUAAUCUUAGAGUUUGGUUGAAAUAUAAUUCUUAAUUGGAGACAAUGGAGAUAAUUAUAUGUCAAGAGAAGACUCGCCAUUGGAAAGAACAUGAUAGAAAUCUUCUCGUUUUUCUUUGGGGACUAUUGGGUCAACCAAGGAUAAUUCUGUGAUCAUAUGAUAUCAAUUAUAACUUAAAUGUAUGGUCUCCCAUAUACGAAGGUUUCCUUGAGCAUUUUCCAAAGAUUUUAAUUUCUAAAAUAGUUAUUGACUAUACCUUUAUGUAAGGUGUUAGUUCCCAGUAGGCACAAUAGAUCUAGAAAGGGGGUUGAAUAGAUCCUUUUUAAUUUCAAAUAUUUUUCAGGUUUAUUUUGUAUAGCUAAUAAUUUAGCAUAUGACAAACAUAAGAAUAUUUUCAAGCACAGCGGAAAAAGUAAAAGAUUCCCUUCAUUGAUAUAUUCAUAAUCAUACAUACAUUGUUCUUAGAGUUAGUUCGGUUGUAAGUAGUUAAAACAUACAUAGCAGUUAUAGCAGUUAAUGUACAUAAUGUAAAUGACAUAAGGUAAAAGACACGAGGGGUUUUAAGUGGUUUAGAGACUCAAGCUAUUAAUCCACUCUUCUGCUUUCAACUAGAAGAAUUUCCACUAAGGAAGGGCAGCACCAUACAUCACUAAGAUUCCUUCAAGACCAGCAACCUUGGGACUUCAGUUCACUAAGAACUCUUCAAGGCCAGCAGCCUUGGAACUUCUCUAGUUCUGUAGGAACUCUUCAAGCCUAGCAAGCUUGGAACUUCAUUUAGUCCCUCCGAAAAAGGACCCCUCAGGCCCUGGCUUCUUGUUGUUGUUUGUUGUUGUUGUUGGUGAUGAGCUGCUAAGAUGUCUUUAAGCUUGAUCAUCUUUUGUACUUAGUAGCAUGGUGUGAUCCUCUUUGCAUUCUGCUUCGAGUCUGGACCACAUCUUCUUUGGUGCAGCUGAUCUUCUUUUGUUCUGUUCAUCUUCAUGUAGUGUCAGUUGUGCACCAUCACCAUUCCCUGAACCCUUCUUAACAUGUUGGCAGACAUGGUUCUGCACUUUCUCUGGUUCAGCUUUAGGUUCAUGGUGAAUCAUGGAGUGGCUCUCAGGAUUUUCCUUGUGUUUUGCAACUCUUCUGGAUGCUAUCUUUUUGUCCUUCUCGGUUCUUAGCUUGGAUCCCAAUUUAAGUGGCAUUCUCAUCUUGUUGAGUGAAGCUUUGGUCUGUUCAAGUCCUUCUUCAAAGCUGCUUCACUUCCACCUUCGUAGUCUCACUGUCACUAAGACUUGUUCUAUUUAAGCUCAGGUGAAACUCGUAGAGUCAACGUUAGCAUUCUACCAACUCAAUGAUUCUGCAACAUAGCAAUAAUCAACAACUCUUGAUCGUUGAAGCUCUGGCUUACUUAUACUCCUUCCCAAUCUUCCCAUUGAGAAGUAGCCGUUGAAAGCUUUUUGAAUUGCUUCGCAGAUCUUGAGUUAUUUGGUGUAGACUAUAGAUGUGACAUGAUAUCCCCUUUUCUGACCUUCUGACACUACAGUCUACUGUUUCACCUACCAUGUCAGAGAUGUCACUCUGAUGUCUUGGGCAGGUCGACGAAUUUAUUUCCUCCUUCUGAUUUCUCGAUCAGAGGUUGUCCUUUUGCAUCGAUGCUCUCAAUAAGCUCUUGUUCGAAUAUCAAUCUUUAGAUUGAACCGUUGCCAAUGCUUCAAUCUUCAGUUGACCGAACUCUACGAUUCUGAUGAACAUCUUCUUGGACCUGAUCGUAGUGUCUUGUUGAAUGUUACUUAUAGACUGGUAGAGUCAACACUACGAUCCUGAAGAGUGUUCAUUAGAUCUCCAAUAUAGAACACCUCUUCCUUCUUACUGUGCAGUGCUCCAACACUUCUGUUUGCCUCGAAUGUUCUUAGAUAUUGAUGGCUUGACUCAUGUUUCUGGUCCCUUUUGAAUAGCAAGACACUUCAGAUUUGUGGCGUGUCCAGUUCGCUUUCUCCUUGUGAUCUUCCGUUCACUUAUCAUCAAUGGACUGACCUAAUGCUUAAUAACUUUAGCCUUAUUCUUCAGAGGCUGACUAGUAUCUUUGUGUACACUCCAUCAGUUCCUUCUUUAUUUGGCAAACACUACGAUCCUGGUAUCUUUCAAGAUCAUUGUCUUCCAUUUACUUGACAGCUACUGCACUUGAUGACUUUUAUUUAUCAAUUACUGAAGUCUUCUUAUGAUCAGCAUGUGGAAGACUUCAUCUUGAAUUGCUUCACAACUCACUCUGGAUGUCGAUUGAGUUGGUGCUUGGAUCUUCUAUUAGCUUACAUUCGAUUCGUUGAGUGCCCUCUGGUUUCCUUUUGGUGGGAUGUAACUUUGCAGUACUAACCAGAGGCUUCAUUCCUUUGGAUAUUCUGGGAGUGCUCAUUUGCUGAGAAUCGUGUUUUCUCUACGAUUCUGCCUUGGCGUUAUGAGAACAUUUGUUGAAGUCUUAGUUCAACACUCUACAAUUCAGCUUCGGUUGUGCAGACACUAUAACUUUGAGAUCAUAUCUUGACACUCUACGAUUUCUUUUGUUGUGCUUGUUGUCAUCAUCUGAUCUUGCUCGACUACGAUCUCUGCCUCUAAUAUGAUCAGUAGACUUUACGACUCUGAGUGUAGUCUACGAUUCUUGACUUGGCUUCAGCAGAUGCUUGGUCGGCUCGUAGGCAGGCUGUCUCUACGAUUCUGACCAUGAAUUCCUCAGCAGACUAUAGCUCCGAAGAAGUUCUACUCGACACACUACGAUCCUUCCUCGCCUCUCCUGGCAGUGUACGAACUCUAAGAUCUACUAUCUUGCAGACUACGAUUCUGCCUUGAUAGCUCUCGAGUUUUCCUUGACUCUCCUAGAAGACUACGAUUUUUGGUGCAGUUCUCAACGAUCAGACAAGCCUAUCUAUUACAUCAUAAGAUCAACCUAACAUGCUUGAUCUUACUAUAUUUAUAGUCCUUGUACAUCAUUUCUUUUUAAGGACUUUACAAAGCUAUUUUGCUUAUGUAGGAUCAACCUAACACAUUUGAUCAAUUCAUUCUAAGUCCUUGUACAUAUGUUUCUAUUAUCUAUCAAAGGACUUUACAGCUUUUCUUAAUUGCAAGCACACUUGCAUAUUCAUUCAUAUAUAUAUAUAUAUAUAUCAUAAUCAAAUCAUAUGUAAAUAGGAAUAUCGUUCACAUGUUUAUUUCUGACAAUCUCCCCCUAUUUGAUUAUGACAAAAACAAUAAGUGCAUAUGCAUGUUAUGAAUGAAACUUAUAUACAUUGAGCAACUAUAUUUCUAAAACAGAUAAUCAUGAAUGUCAUUUAAAAUAAUAUGGAAUUUAAUACACUAUGACAUUUUACAUCCUGGAUCUAGAACAUACCUAACUAGUUACAGAUGUACCUUUUUGGCUCCAUGGAUGUUUUUAGGAUGUCUGUUGAUCAGCUAAUCAUCUGUUUGAUCUUCUUGUUCCUGCUCCCCCCUGGGAUGAUGACUUUCUUUCUUUGCUAUGCUCCCCUUCAGACUUAUGAUCUUCUUGCUUAGUUUGCUCCCCCUAAAACUCUGCGAUCAUAUGAUCAUCAUCUUUUGGCUCCCCCUCAGAUGAUGACUCUGCUACCUCUUCUAUUCUUUUCUUCUAUAACUUUCCCUUGGCCUUUUUAUCUUCACUCCUUCUGCUCUCCUUGUCCUUUCUUGAAUGUCUCUUGCUAUGCCUCUUUCUAUGUCUCUUUUUCUCCCCCUUUUUGUCAUUAAUCAUUUGGGAGAACUGCUCCAUGUUGGACAUAAGUUGCUCCAUCAGAUAAGAGGAGUUACCAACUUCAACCUUGAGUUCUUGUUGGCUUAACUCAAAUUGCAUGGAGAAAGACUGAUUCAUGUUGUCAAUCUUGUCAGAGAGGACUUGGAGUUUCUCUUUAUUAGCCUUCUGUGUUUGUAGAGCUUCUGCCUUCUGAUCAUUUAUGGCCUUCAGAUUAAUGUGAUCUCUCUCUUUGAUUUUGAGAGAUACCCCAGCCAUGGUGGCAUGGAGUCUGUCUUGAACUGAGUUAUCUUCUGUUGUUGUCAACUUCUUUGACUCUUUAUUGAUUAGAGAUAUCUUCUCAAUCAGCUUAGCAGAGUUCUUCAACAGUUCCUGCUCCAUAGGAAUUUGGUCAUUAGGUUGGGCAGCCUCUUAUUGAACACCAAAUUGGACUCCACGAUUUUCAUCCUUUGACAAAUUUUCAAAAGUAGUGAGAAUAUGAAAAAUCAUUGAAUACCAAUCGCUAUUGGAGGAUGAAAGAAUAUCAGAUAGCUGUGCUUAUGCAGAUGGAGGCUUCUCAUUCUCGAUUUAAACACCGUCAGUGGUAGAGUGAACAGUCUCUACGAUUAUCUCAUUGGCCAUAAUCCUUCUGCCUUCAGAGUCCACUCUACGAUCAUAAGGAAUAUAGUGGUUUCCAGCAUGUCUGUAGACUUUGUAGUGGGGUUGGUCUUUGAUCAUCAUUGUUGCAAAAUUCUUCACCUUUGGGAAGUUUUGUGCCACCAGCUCCAUGUUUAGAAAUUGUGAGUAGCACCAGCUGAAGUAACUUCCAUCUCUUUCAGUAUGUGCCUUUAACCAAGGAAUCCAUUCGAAGAACCAUCUCAUCAAUAGAUCAUCAGGAUUGUAGAGGAUAGUCAUGUAGUCUAACACUAUAUUGUUCCAAUUUUUGAACACAUCAUGUGCAGUCAUCCUUACAACCCUGAGUUGUUCAUUGCCAUAUCUUACCCAUCUUUAUGUUGGGAGUUCUUCUGGUUCAUCAAAAACUUCUACCACUAUUCUUCUACUGAUUCUUGCUGGAGAGAGGACAUGAUAGUCUUAUGGUUCCUCUGAUUCUUGAUGUGCAGAAUCAGAAUCUUUCUCCAUUUUUCUCUUUCGGAGCCUGAAGCAUUCUGAUCAGAUUCAUCAGUGAAUCCUUCAUGUUGAUCUUCAUUACCAGACUCUUCUUUAGUAAUGUCUUCCUUGGAUUCAUCUUCUUCAUUACUAGUUCCAUCUUCAGCACUUUUCUCCUUUGAUUCAGAUUCAUUAUCACUUACUUCAAUGACUGAAGUGGAGUGAUCACUUCUCUUCUUGGAGGCAAAUUGAGCAAUUAAUCUGUAGCUCUUCCUUCUCCUUGGGGGUUCAACUAUGGGAGAGUUAGACUCUUCUUCCUCUUCAGACUCUGAGGCCUUUGGAUCAGACGAACAUCCAUGAGGUUCAUCAUUGUCAGGGGCAGGUCCUUCUUCUUCGGACUCGUCGUCUUUGGAGCCAUCAUGUGGGCUUGCAGGAGUAGUUGUAGUGAGAGAUGCAGCUUUGUUAUCUUGCAGCCUUUCUUCAUUUUCAAAGUGAAUACUCUGAGAGUUAGCCACAGGGCUUGUACAUUCUUCUUCAUCAUCAGAGUCUGCAUUAUCUUCCAUGAAUACGGUUCCAACUUCAUCGCUGGAUUUGUUCUUUGGGGACUCAGUCUUGACAUCAUCAGUUCCUUUUUCUUCUUCUGACUCUACGUCCUCUUCUUCGUCAGAUGUACUUUCUUGGGAAAUGGGGACUGGUAUGUUUACCACCUUAGAUUUCUUUCUGGAUGGCCCUUGAAGUAAUCUGUUACUUCUCCUCUUUGUGGUCUAUGUAGUUGAGACCUUUUCAUCUUCAUCCUUAUCUUCUGUGGAGAGACUUCUUGGUAAGGACUCAGUUUUCUUCACGCCCUUGGAUUUCUUCCUUGCUGGUGUGGUUGCUACUGGUGCAGAGUCACCAGACUCAGAGCUUUCCACCUCUUUUGCCUUCCUCUUUUUCGCAGAGUUCUUUCUGCUGCUCCCUGUUGUUGUCAACCUUUUGUUUUCCUUUGGGUUCUUCUUCCAUUUCAAAAACAGUUGUGGAGACAUUACUUUGUGAACAUUUAAAGGCUCUCCUUCAUCAUUCUUGAUUUUGCUUCCCAGUUUCUUUUUUAGCACUAUACUCAACAGUCUUCCAUGAAACACCUUUGUCAGGGGUUUUUCUGUAGACUUUUUCAACUCAACCUUUUCUACCCAUUUGGAGAUUUGAUCAAACACGAUAAUUCCAAAGUUGAUUCGCUUCUUCAGAACUAUAGCAGACAUGAUUUUCAACUGGUAAUCAAGCACAGUGUUAUGUGCAGUAUCCUUGCAUAGUAUAUAUUUGCCCACUAUCUCAGCAAGGAACUCGAAUUCCUCCGGAAACUCCUUCUUCAUGUCCUUCAGACUAGGGUUUCUUUGGUACCACAUUAUCCUCUUGCCUUCUUCAAUGUCGACUUCAUCCAGGUUUAUCAGACCUUGGUUGGGAAACCCUAGACAUUUCUUGAUGUCUGAUGCUCUUAUUUUCAGACUUGAUCCUUUCACCUUCGCGGUCAGAAGCCCAGAAUCUAUUAAAGCAUUUGAGUAGAACUGUUUCACUAGCUCUGUAUAGACUGGAGUGUCGGUCUCCAAGCACUCAGAGAACCCAGUCUUCUUUACGAGCUCAAGUAUGUCCUUGAACUUUGUUUCUGAUCUUUCGAAUUUUUUGAAGCCGAGUUGGAUUGCGGUUAUAACUCGCCAUUCUGCCAUUUGAAGAGUUCAAGGUAUAUGGGUAUGUGUUUUAGGGAGUCUAAAGAGAAAUAGUUGAAUGUGAUUUGGGCAAGACUCUGGAGGGUUAAUGGGUUUUGGCUUCAAAUAGGAUUCUAGGGUUUAAAAAUGGAGAGUUUUGAUAGUUUCUGAAAAAUGUUUAUAGAUUUUAAAUUUGUCUUUAUGGUAGUUCCCUCUGACUCUGCAUAAACAGUUAUGUGUCAACCAACCAUUGGUUGAACGAUGUCCAGUAAUGAGCUGUAACUCCCCAUAAACUUUUUAGUUAGAUAUCUCUUGUGACGCCCCCAAAAUAGAUAUACAACACCCAUUCUGAGUCGCCAAAUACAUGGUACAGAAACAACUACAACUUUAUUAAUACAACUGUCAUGCAAAAUACGAGAACACUUAAACUGUGAGUUUAAAUACAAAUAUUGUCAUCUAGACAAUAUCCACACUCAAAUAAGUCCUCAUUACAAUUAUUGAUAAACUAUUUUACAAAAUAGUGAGGACUACUAAAACAACUUCUAGAACCAUCAUUCCACACCCCGACUAGUACUCGCUACAUUCUCGCCUCCUAAGAAGAAAAAUAUGGAACAAAAAGGAAAAGGGUGAGCUCAACUAGCCCAGUAAAGAACAUUAUGACUAAGAUAAUAUAGAACAAAUUAUCGUUAGUCCUCAACAGGGAACAAUCUAAUAGAAUACAAUAGACAACAAGUUUUAAAUCAAUAUUCGCAGCUGAAAUAAUAAUUUAUUAGAAGAGUUAAAUAGAGAUAAAAUCUACUAUCUUCUAUAUAUGAAUUUAAAAGUCCAUCGUCAAUAUUUUAUCCCUGUAACAUCAAUCAAUAUAUAUCUGGAAUCAAAUAUUCAUCUUUGCACUACAGGCCAAAGAUAUUCAUCAGUUGGUCAUGUUCAUCUAAACACCUGUUCAUCUUUGCACUACGGGCCAAAGAUAUUAAUCAGUCGGUCAUGUUCAUCUCAACACCUGUUCAUCUUUGCACUACGGGCCAAAGAUAUUCAUCAAGAAAUCAUUCAUCUUUGCACUACAGGCCAAAGAUAUUCAGUAAUAUCAUCAUUUAGGACUGAGGAUGAUGAAAAAUAUUUUAAAGAAAACGAAUCCAGUGAAACAAAAGAAUAAAUAUUAAGGAUUCGUAUUUCAGCUAUUCCAUGUCCAAAAAUACCUCAUAAAUAAUCAUAGUGGAGUAAAAUUCAAGAAUGAUCAAAACAUGGAUACAAUCAAAGCUAGUAUCCAUAAUAGAUAUUUUGGACAAAAAGAAAAAAUUUCAUUUUUCGGUGAAUAGUGCCGUAUUCGUGAAUAGUGCCGUAUACGUGAAUAGUAUCGUAUACGUGAAUAGUAACUCCAACACAAAAAGUUCCAAAUUUGAUAAAAAGUUCAGACCAAUAUUUUGGCAUAAUGAUAUUGAAAGAAAUAAUAUCAUUUAUGAAGAAAAUAACAUCCCUUACCUCGCAAAGACAGUACUUCUGACUGAAUAUCGGAUAUAAUGCUGAAAGAAACUUGCACCGUAUAGCCACACUCAAAGUAUCAAAAUACUCACAAAAAUACGCUCGAUAUUAUAGAGAGAGAAAACUUUAGAUUCUGGUGUGAUUUUCAAUUCUAAUCUAAGCAUCCUAUUUAUAGGAAAUUGCUUAGAACACCAAAGCAGAAAAUUUAAUAAAAUAUUAAUAUUAUUUAUUUAAAUUCUUACACCCACCUUGACCAUCUGAAUUCUGCCACCAAUAAUGACAAAACAAAAAACACGUUUUUGUUAUUAAAAAUAAUUAAAACUUUCAAAAAUUAAUUAUUUCGGAACUACAGAACUUCAAUAAUUCAUAAUAAAUAGCCCUUUUAUCAGAAAAAUUCAAACCUUAUGUCCUUUCUAUAGAAAAUUUCAUUCUCUAUAACUUUGCAGAAGAAAGUUUUUCUAAAUUCCAAACAGAAAUUGACCGAAAUCCACAUACAGACGAUUUUACAGCCUAUAAUCAAAUUUCAGUCAAGAAAUGGGCCUACAGACAUGUUUAACAUGUUUUAAAUAACUUUUGCAAAAAAUACCCUUCCUCCUCGUAUAUUCAUAUAUCCCACAUUCAUUGUAAAAAUAUCACCAUUAUUAUAUUAUUAAAAUAUAAUAAUAUAUUUAAAUGAAUUAUUUUAUCAAAAAAGAUAAAAUAUCAAUUUUUCAACAAUUGUCACUUUAAAAUUUUCUCCAUCUAUAUCCACAUAAAAUCAAUAUUUUCCUCAUCAUAUGAAUCAAUAAUUAAUUAUUCACAAAUAAUAUUACAGAAUCACAAUAUUGACAACCAGGCAGUUCCCAGGAAAGAGGGGGCUUUCCAAUAAGAAUUUCUCCUUACUGGCGCGCAAUUAGGUGACCAAACCUCUCCUUAGACAGAACUUUCUAGACAUUGCCAAUAAUGUUAUCUAAUAAUAUUAUUCAGAUAAUAUGAAUUAUUGCUUCGAUAAUGGAAAAUACUGUGUAGUGACAAUUAUUGAAACAACAGUAAUAUAAAAUAUCAACGCAGCAAUUAUUGAAUCAAUAAAAUAAAAUACUGAACAGUAAUUACUGUAACAAUUAUUGAGUAGUGCCUUCUUACGUAAGAAUCAAUAAUUGGUGCAAUACCGUGUGCUACUGUGCAACAACGCGUAUUACUGUGUUUUAACCACCGGGUAUUCCAACAGUAUUAACGGUAACAACUACGCCGUUAUUUAUAAACAACUUAUACUUGUCGUUUUCUUCAUCCAAUCGCUUUUCGUUAUGGGGCCCACAAAAGGCUGCGCCGUCGUACGAAUAUUCCCCGACAGGAAGAAUAUUCCACGACCAAACUAAUAUUCCCCGACAAUAAUGAAUAUUUUAUAACCACUUGCUUAUUUGAAAUAUUUGCACAUUUUACCCAUAACUAACCACAUUAAUCAAUUCAACCCUUACUAUUUCAAAAUAAUAAAUAGAGAAAUUCAAUUUCAUUUAUAAUAAGUUGGGGUCUUACAACCUCCCAUCCUUAUGAAAUUUCGUCCUCGAAAUUGACGUACGUACCUGGUGUUUCGAAAAGGUGAGGAUACCUCGCUUUCAUUUUCGUUUCCAACUCCCAGGUCAUUUCCUCUAUAACAUGGUUCAUCCACAAAACUUUGACUUGUGGUAUGACCUUUGUGCGUAGGACAUGCUCUUUCCUAUCCAAGAUCUUGACAGGUACCUCUUCGUACGUUAAGUCUUCGGCUAUUUCGUUCGGUUCUAACUCAAUAACGUGGUUUAGGUCUUUCACAUAUUUACGUAGCACAUAUAUAUGAAAAACAUUAUGAACAUGAGGCAUACUUGGAGGUAAUGCGAGUCUAUAGGCCACAUUUCCUACUCGGUCAAGAAUCUGAAAUAGACCAAUAAAUCAUGGAUUGAGCUUUCCUCUUUUCUCGAAUCUUGUAACUCCCUUCCAUUAAGCAAUACGUAACAAUACAUGAUCCCCAAUGUCAAAUUCCACAUCCUUUCGAUGAAGAUCCGCAUAACUCUUUUGUCGAUCUUGUGCCAUUUGUAUAUGUUAUCGAAUUGUUUGGAUCUUCUCUGUAGUCAUUCGUACCAACUCUGGUCCCAACAACGUUGCUUCUCCCACCUCAUCCCAGCAUACUGGAGAGCGGCACUUUCGUCCAUACAAUGCUUCAAAUGGAGCCACACCUAUACUUGCCUGAUAACUGUUGUUGUAGGAGAAUUCCACCAAUGGUAGGUACUUAUCCCAACUCCCUUUGAAAUCUAGGACACAAAGUCUUAAUAGAUCGAUCUUCAAGAGUUUGAAUAGUCCUCUCUGAUUGCCCGUCCGUUUGAGGAUGGUAUACCGAACUGAAUCGUUAAUCCGUGCCCAUAGCUUUAUGCAAGCUAACCCAAAAUCUUGAAGUGAAUCUUGGGUCACGAUUCGAAACUAUAGAUACUGGCAUGCCAUGCAAUCUCAUAAUCUCAUUUACGUACAUACGAGCAAGACGUUCAAGGGAAUAAGUCUCCCGUAUCGGCAAGAAAUGAGCAGACUUAGUUAAUCUAUGAACAAUAACCCAAAUCGCAUGUAUGCCUUGAGAAACCGUGGGAAGACCCGUAACAAAAUCCAUGGUAAUGUGUUCCCACUUCCAUUUUGGAAUAUCAAGUGGUUGGAAUGGACCCUUUGGCACUUGAUGCUCCGCCUUUACACGUUGACAAGUUAAACACCUCGAGAUAAACUUCGCGAUCUCUCUCUUCAUAUUGUUCCACCAAAAUGUAUGUCGAAGAUCAUGAUACAUUUUGGUACUCUCAGGAUGGAUUGCAAACGGUGUGUUGUGUGCCUCCAUCAUGAUUCCAUGCUUCAAGUUAGAAUCGUUAGGAACACAAAGUCUGGAGUUGACUCGAAGUAUUCCUUCUUCAUUGAUCCUUGCUUCUAGAAUAGCACUUUCUUGCACUUUUUUUGUGAGACCCCAGAUUUUAUGAAUAAAGAUUUAAUUUUCUGGAAAUAUAUAUAUUUUUUAAUAUUAUGGUGUGGAUUUGAAAUAAUGUUAUAGUUGUGGGUAAUAUUUAUAAAUUUUGAAAAGUAUGCAAGUUGUUAUAAAAUAUUCGAUUGGUCGGAGAAUAUUCUUUUUGUCAGGGAAUAUCCGUACGACGACACAAUCAUUGGUGGACCCCACGAUGAAAGUAUUAUCGAAUUUAGAAAAUGACAUAAUUAUCUUUUUGUAAAAUAACGGCGGAAGUGUUACCGUUAAAACUGUUGAACUACCCGGUAGUAAAAAGUACAGUAAUACGUGUGGUUGCAUAGUAGCACACGGUGUUGGUUAUUAAUGCUUACGUGAUAAGUCACUCAGUUUUGUUUUAUUAGUAUUAUUAAUGUAAUAAAACAGAAAAGCUUUUUAUAUAAAACAUAAUACUUUUAUAAAGUUAUUCUAUAAAUAAAAUAUAUUAUAUUCUAUUGUGCAUAGUGUUUUGCAUAGUAAAAUCUUUUUAUAUAAAACAGAAUAUUUUUAUAAAUUAUUCUAUAAAUAGAAUAUAUUAUAUUUUAUUAUGUAUAGUGUUGCAUAGUAUUUUGCAUAGUGAAAUCUUUUUAUAUAAAACAGAAUACUUUUAUAAAGUUAUUCGUUUUAUUAGAUUAUAAAUAGAAUAUAUUAUAUUUUAUUUAAAAGAUUUUGCUUUAAAUACGGAUCGUCCGAUUAAAAGUAAAUCAAUCUGGACCGUUCAUGAAUUAGUUACUAUGUAGUCCAUUCUUCUAUAAAUAAAAGCUCAUUCCUUCAUUAUUUCUUACGAAUUCACUGAAACUCUAGAGAGAGAAACUAUAGAGAGAAUUCUUCUUCUAUAAUCUUGAGCGUAUUUCUUUAGAGUUUAAGAAAGUUUUGAGCGUAGUACAAGUUUUCUUCGAGUAUAUCCUCGCCCUACUAGUCGGAAUACUCUUCUUUCAAAGGUAAGGGAUAUUAUUUGUCGUACUCGUAAGGGAUAUUAUUUGUUGUACUCGUAAGGGUAUUAUUUCUUUCGUAUUCAUGAAGAGAACUUCUGUUAUUCCAUUCUUUAUUAUUCUGUUGGAAUAACCUGUAUACACGGUCUACCCUAUACUUGGUGAAAUUCUUCUGAUAUUCCAUUCUUUAUUAUUAUGUUGGAAUAACCUGUCUAUGCAAAAUACCGCAUAUAUGGUGAAAUUCUUUUGUUAUUCCAUUCUUUAAUUAUUCUGUUGGAAUAACCUGUCUGUGCGGUCUAUCGCAUGCAUGGUGAUUUCUGUUGUUAUUCCAUUCUUUAUUAUUAUGUCGGAAUAUCCUGUCUGUACGUUUAGGCCGGACCUGGUUCCAUUAUUUAUUAUUUUGUCGGAAUAUCCAGUCUGUACGUUUACGCCGGACCUGGUUCCAUUAUUUAUUAUUCUGUUGGGAAUAACCUGUUUGUUCAGUCUAUCGCACGUAUGGUGAAUCCUUCUAUUAUUCCAUUCUUUAUUAUCCUGUUCGAAUACCCUGUCUAUGUGGAUUACCACAUGCAUGGUAAAUGAUCCUUUGUAUUCAUUCCUUAUUAAAUUGUGAAAAUGAUCUGUAUACGUGGAUUACCGCAUGGCGGGUAAAAAUCCAUUUGCAGUUUCACAUAUUCUUUUAUACUCAGUUGGUUAAAGCUUUGACUUCUAUACUCUAUGAAAUUAGUGGAAUAUCCUAGACAUUUGCGCUUCAUCGAGUAUCUUUUCAUGAAAAUAUUCUUCUGAGCAUUCUUGAAUUUUACUCUACAAAGAAGUAUCAUGUUGACAAUUUGGACAUUAUUGAGUUCAGGAUAAAUUAACUUAUAAAUCUUUAAAAUUAAUUCUUGAACUUGUUUUAUUGAAUUAUUAUGUCAUUGUCAUGAUGAGUUAUGUUGGUUAUUAUGUGAACACAGGAAAGUUUCUUAGAAAUCACAAACGGUUAAAAAUCAGCUUUUGGUGAAAAUGAAACAUGAAAUUCAAUUGACCGUAUCUCCUGUUAUAUUUUGAAUUUUUGAGUGUGGUCAAGUUCUAGAGUUAGAUCUAUGAGUUUCCUAACUUAUCCAAGUAGAAUCACUGGAAAAUGUAUUGUAGAUUUUCGUGUGUACUUAUUUUAGCAAAUGAGUCAAAAGUUGUAAAUUACAAAAAAGCUACUGCCCAGAAGUUUAAAAGGGUAUUUUGGCCACUUAAAUUGUGAGACAAAUUUUGGCCUUUUGGGACAUACAAAUAUAUGGUAUAAUCCUGUCCAAAAAUGAGUUCAUUCCGACUUAAAAUGAGCAAGUUAUGACCAUUUCAAUAUUUAGGUUUUUUCGACGGAAAAUGCUAUAACCGGAGUUCUAUAACUUCGAUGACCAUGAAAUUUAAACUGGAAGCUCACGUUAACAUGUGUAAGAUCCUGCCAAGAUUUGGAAAUUUAUGGAGUUAACCUUGAGGUAGCUAAUUUCUUAAGGAAUUAAUUAGAAAUUGAUUUUUGAAAAAUAGUAAAUGAAUUUUAAAAAUUCCGAAAAAAAUAUAUGUUCAUAUGGGACUAUAUUCUGCUUAAUCCCAGAAAAGAAUAAUUUUUGGGACAGAUUUGGUAUUUUUCAUAAAAAUGGUUUAGUUACGAACAUAUGAAUUAAAUAUGUUAUUUGAAGUUGAAAAAUUGGUAAAUAGGAUUUUAUGGCUUGAAAAUCCUAUAUAAGGUAUAUGCAGAUUUUUGAUGAGUAAUUUGAUUAUUGGUGAUGAAAUCUUAUGUGUAUGGCAUUUUUGAAUGAUUAAAUGCAUUAUUUGAAAAAGUGUAAACAAUUAAAUCAAAUUGUUUAUAAGUUUAAGGAGUGAUUAAAAUAUUGUUAUAAUAUUAACAAUAUUAUAUUAUGAUUUUAUUAAGUGAUUGAUAAUGUUUGGAUAAAUUUAAAGUCUUUAAUAUUUAUCCUUGAUUUAGUUUGACUAAUGCUUAUAAUAUUGUCAUCAUCCUCAUNNNNNNNNNNNNNNNNNNNNNNNNNNNNNNNNNNNNNNNNNNNNNNNNNNNNNNNNNNNNNNNNNNNNNNNNNNNNNNNNNNNNNNNNNNNNNNNNNNNNNNNCUGCAACUAUGGUUGAAAAGUUUUAUCAUCUACCAUAUGUUCUAAAUCUCUGAUUUAUUAUUGAUGAAAGCUAUUGAUAAUUUAAUUAUCUUUAGUCAUGAUAUUCUUUACUGGGCUAGUUGUGCUCACCCUUUUGCUUCACAAUUCCUUUCAGGUAAUAAAAGUGUAGCUGGGUCGAGCGGGGUAUUAAGAGGAUUAGUGUAACGCUCGAGAAUUUCGAAUUUUCAAUGAAUUAAAUUUUUAUUUGAUUAUGUGGAUUAAAUGAAUUUUAUUGAGUGAUUAUGUGAGUAAGAUGUUCGAAGGUCGUUGUAUGACCUAGAAUGUGUAGAUGUGGUUAGUAUUCUGGCUUUGAGCUAGAAUUAAUUGUUAUGAAUUAUCAAAACGAGAACGAAGGUUUUCUGAGAUUGUUUGCGUAAAAACACUAUUCAUCUGAUGAUGUUCGGAGCUAGGGUUUGAGAUUCUGAGAAACGUGUAAUGUUAGAAUGUGACGAUAUUAUGGAAUAUCCAAUAAUAUUUCCGUUAUGGCAAACGAAGUUUUCGCCUGCGGACUUAAAACCUAAGGGUUUGUGAAAGAGGUUUCUGAAAGGGAAAUGUAAUGCGUAUAGUCGUUUCGAUUAUUAUACGUAAGGAAUAUGAGUAUUAUACUAGUAUGUAUAUAGGUAUGGUAUGAAGAAUAGUACGAAGUAUAAUACGAUUAUUAUAUGAGUAUUAUACGAAGAGAAUACGUGAAUAAUACGCGUAGAAUACGAAUUGUAUUAUUAGAAUAUGAGCUAAGGAUUUUAUCCAAUCCAAUUGGACUUGGAUUAAUAAACAAGCCCAAUGAAUUAAGGAUAUAAGCCCAAGCCAAGGCCCAAUAUUAGAUUGGUUAAAGCCCAAUGUUUUUAUGUCAAGCCUAAUCCAAAAAGUAACCCGCGGGUCGAACCGGUGGGUCAAGGGAUGGGUAAAACCUAUGGGGCAACCCAUGGGGAUGACCCAUGUGCAAGGUGGGCCGGCCACUUGGUGUGCAAGCCAAGUGUGUCACUUGGUCACCAAGUAUUUUGCUUGGUGACAAAGUUAUAAUUAAGUGAGGAGGUGGUGAAUUGGACAAUUUUGCCCCUCAUUUGGUUUUCUAUAAAUAGAAAGCUAAGAGUUGGAUUUUUGUUGUUUUACAAAGUUUUUCCAACAUAUUUGAGAGAGAGAAAAGAGCUAGAAUCCUAUAACUCUUCUACUUCCAAGCAAACCAAAAGACGUUUAUCAAGAACGUUAACUACUUCGAAGGUAAAUUCCUAUAAACCGUAAUCUUCAUCCUUUUCGAUUUCUUUCUCAUAAGAAGAAUCGUAGAUGAGUGGAGAGCGUUUAUGGAGAAGAUAUAAGAAUGCCUAUUAAUAACCAAAUCAUUGAUAGGUCUUGACCAAAUAGAAAUCCUAAGUUGUUAUUUGAGUAAAAACCAUAGAAAGUCUUGAAAGUUAACUUAGUUAUAAUUGAACGUUUUAGAAAUCGUUGUAGCUAAGAUAUGUGUAACUUGAUUGGUUAGGAUGUAGAUAUGAAGUCCAUGGAGUAUUCCAUGUAAUUUGGCUUAGAGCACAUUAGUAACGAAGUUAUGACGGACUUUACGGAAAUAGACGUUAAACGUCGAAAACGCAUAAAGUCCGGAUUAAAGGUCAAAAGUUUCCGUUUGACUUGAAAACGUCGGUUUCCAAUGUCAACAUGUGAGAUAAUGUAAUCAAGAGUCGUUGGCGAAGGAAUCAUCGCAUUCCGACUUAUAACGAAGAAAACGAGUAUUGAACGGGCGAAAACGUUAAACGAACGCUUAAAAACGAACCUAAAGGCGAAUUCCGAGUUAACGGAUUUGAAAAGGUGAAAUUCUUAUACGAACACGUAAAGGAUGUAAUUUGUGACUUGUAGGAAUUCGAAUGGGUCAAUUCAGAUGUAAAAUGAACAAAUUAGGAAGCUGGGAGUUUCAUUAGGAAACCAAAUCUGUUUUGGCUAACUGCUGCACAGACUCGGCACCGCAGCGCCAAAACCAGUACAAAGUGGUGGCGCCAUAGCGCCAGACUCUGCCGAGUACCCUGCUAACUCGCGCCGCAGUGCCACUAAAACAUAAGGGAUGCCGUGCCGCAGCGCCGACAGUGGGAAAAAGUUGACUAAGUUAGGUUUAGUUCCCUUUUGAAUAUAGACCUAAAGUAAGAUGUUAAAGGUACUUAAAGUACAUAAUGAGACUUACUUUAAAACACUUAUAAGAUGUUAAUGUAAGAAGAACGGGUAAGGUUUAAUGGAAAUUAAACGAAGAUCACAAAUACGUAAUGAGUGAACCGUAAACGACAUUCAAAGUUGGUAAUUAACCAUUAAUUAUCGAAUGUCGGCUAAGGACGUAAGAACGUUAAUGAAAUCUAGAGCUAAGUGCUGUCAAAUAAUAUCACAUGGAGUUGUUAGGUUAGGCCAACCACUCCCACACUUGGCAAAAUUGUACAAGUUGCUUAAAAAAACACUAAAGGGCAUUUUGGAUAAUUGAUUUGUGAUUUUAAGGGUAUUCUUGUAAUCAUGCAAACCCUUAGGGUUUGACCCUUAAGGUUUAACCCUUAGGGUUUAACCUUAAGGUUUAGUACAUAGCAUUUGUAGGAUUUCCAUUUUUAGGGUUUGCUCAAAAAUAAAAUUAAAUAAAUUUUAGUUUCUAAAAUUUUGAAACUAGGAUUUUCUAAUUAUACUAUACAUGAACAUUAAGGUUUAGAUCAUAUAAUUAUCAUUGACUUUGCUAAUUUGGCAAUUAGGGUUUAUACUUUUGGUAAUUAGGUUUUUAUAAUUUCUAAUUAGGGUUACUAAUUAUAGAAAUUAGGGUUUCUAAAAAUUAAUAUCUCAAAAUGUUAAUUAGGGUUUACCUAAUUAUUCAUAAAAUCAUAUAAUAUCGUCACAUAAUAAUCUCGAACUCAUAAUUGAGUUUUAAAUUAGGGUUUAACACUUAAAAUUAGGGUUUCUAUCACUUUAAUUAGGGUUUACCUAAUUAAUACAUUUAAUACAUGACGUAAAUUAUAUAACACACUUAUAAAACAAUCUUGUACUCUAUUUUGGAUCUCAAAUUAGGGUUUAACAUUAUUACUAGGGUUUGGUCAUAAUACACCGUAAUUGACCAACCAUUAUCAAUACGGACAUACAAUACAUAUUUAUAGCACUGAAAAAUCAAAAUAUAAUUAAUAUUAUAUUAAUAUCCUCAUACCUUGACAAUAAUCCAAAAUUAGGGUUUGGAUUCCAUAUCUGAUUUAUUCUUUAUAUUUAACCUUAAUAAUUAAGGUAAAAUAAUUAACUUAAUAAACUGUACUAAAAUUCAUAUAAUAAAAUAAUUAUUAUAAUUAUUAUAAAAAUCACUUCAUAUAUUAUUUAAAUAAUAUAUGAUUAUAUUUUUAUGAAAAAUAAUUAAUAAAAACAUUUCUAUCUUAAAAUUAAUUAUUAUAAGAAUAUACUUUAUAAUAAUCAAUAAUUCUAAAAUAAAUUUAUUUGUAAAUAUUUUUGUAAUAAAUAUAUUUUUAUUUAUCACAUAAAUACAUAUACACAUUAUCUUGUACAAAUCCUCAUCCUUAAAAUAAUAAUAAUAAAAAUUAUAUGAAAAAUUUAUGAUUUAUUUAAAUAGAAAAUAUCGGGUUAUUACAGCUACUCCGCUGACAAAUCUGACAAGGAAGUCGGUAAAGUAUGAGUGGACAGAAAAGUGUGAGCAGAGUUUUCGAGAACUAAAAAGGAGGUUGAGUGAGGCACCUGUAUUAUCUUUACCAGAUGAUACGGGGAAUUUUGUAGUUUAUAGCGAUGCUUCGCAUAGAAGACUAGGUUGCGUGCUUAUGCAGCAUGACAAGGUCAUUGCGUAUGCGUCACGUCAGUUAAAGGAUUAUGAGAAGGUCUAUCCUACUCAUGACCUAGAAAUGGCAGCAGUAGUAUUUUCUUUGAAAAUAUGGAGAUUUUAUUUAUACGGGGAGAAGUGUGAGAUAUACACGGACCAUAAAAGUCUAAAAUAUAUCUUCACACAGAAGGAGUUGAACAUGAGGCAGAGAAGGUGGUUAGAAUUAAUAAAAGAUUAUGAUUGUGAUAUCUUAUAUCAUCCGGAGAAGGCGAAUGUAGUAGCAGACGCGUUGAGUCGAAAGGGUAGAGAGAAACUGUCAAUGUUAACGACUCAGAAUGAGUUAAUAACAGAGAUGACAAGGAUGGAAUUAGAAGUUAAGUUACCAAGGGAAACGAGGGAGAUGUUAUUUGCAAUCGACCAACGAUAGUGGAACGGGUUAAGGAAGUAGAGUUGAGUACGGAGGAAUGCGAGCGGAUGAAGAAGAUAAUGAAGGAUGAUGCGAAGACUAAGUAUAACCUUGAUAAAGAAGGUUUACUUCAUUUUGAGGGAAGAAUUUGGGUUCCAAAUAAUUCCGAGUUGAAGGAAGAGAUUAUGUGUGAGGCUCACAGUUCGAGGUACUCGAUACAUCUUGGUAGUACUAAGAUGUAUCAAGACCUUUGUCAGAACUUUUGGUGGCCGAACAUGAAGAGGGAGAUUGUAGAAUAUGUUAGUAAGUGCUUAACUUGUCAGGAAGUUAAGGCUGAAGACCAAAGACCGAGUGGACUGAUACAACCACUGGAGAUUCCGGAGUGGAAAUGGGAGCAUAUCACCAUGGACUUUGUGGUGGGACUUCCAACGACAAGAAAGGGAUACGAUGCUAUUUGGGUAAUAGUGGAUCGGUUAACUAAAUCUGCUCAUUUUCUACCAAUAGGAGUUAGGUAUAAUUUAGAGCAAUUAGCUAAGCUUUAUGUCAAAGAAAUCAUUUCUAGAAAUGGAGUGCCUGUUUUGAUUGUGUCUGAUCGUGAUCCACGAUUCACGUCGAACUUUUGGAGGAGUUUGCAAGAGCAAAUGGGAACACAGUUGAGAUUGAGUACGGCGUAUCAUCCACAGACGGAUGGGCAAAGCAAACGGACAAUUCAAAUGCCAGAAGAUAUGUUAAGAUCUUGCAUUAUGGAUUUCAAAGGGAGUUGGGACGAACAUCUACCGUUAGUAGAAUUCGCUUAUAAUAAUAGUUUUCACGCUAGUAUAGGCAUGCCGCCUUACGAAGAGUUGUAUGGACGAAAGUGUAGAACACCACUUUGUUGGGAUGAAGUAGGUGAACGUUGAAUGUUGGGACUUGAGAUGGUACAACAAACAGCAGACAUGGUAAAGCUGAUAAGAGCUCGAUUAGUAGCGGCUCAAGAUAGACAACGGAAGUAUGCAGAUCCUCAUCGAGAGAAGAGGGAGUUUGAAGUAGGGUCUUAUGUCUUUCUAAAAGUAUCGCCUUGGAAAGGGAAGAUACGUUUUGGAAAGAAAGGGAAGUUAAGUUCGAGGUUUGUAGGACCUUUUGAGAUUUUAAGAAGGAUAGGAGAGGUAGCUUAUGAAGUAGCCUUACCUCCAGAAAUGGAAAGAAUACACAAUGUGUUUCACGUGUCUGUGUUGCGUCCUUAUAAACCGGACUAUAAGCAUGUAAUAGAGUAUGAGUCUAUUCAAGUAGAAAAAGACUUAACGUAUGAAGAACUUCUGAUUCAGAUUAUUGAUAGGAAGGAACAAGUCUUGAGAAAUAAGGUAAUACCUUCCGUAAAGGUAAUUUGGAGUAACCACGAGGCUGAAGAAGCAACGUGGGAACUCGAAAGUAAAAUGAAGGAAAAGUUUCCUCAUUUGUUUAUGUAAGAAUAGCGAGAUUCUGGGGACAGAAUCCUUAUAAGGAGGGAAGAAUGUAACGCCCGAGAAUUUCGAAUUUUCAAUGAAUUAAAUUUUUAUUUGAUUAUGUGGAUUAAAUGAAUUUUAUUGAGUGAUUAUGUGAGUAAGAUGUUCGAAGGUCGUUGUAUAACCUAGAAUGUGUAGAUGUGGUUAGUAUUCUGGCUUUGAGCUAGAAUUAAUUGUUAUGAAUUAUCAAAACAAGAACGAAGGUUUUCUGAGAUUGUUUGCGUAAAAACACUAUUCAUCUGAUGACGUUCGGAGCUAGGGUUUGAGAUUUUGAGAAAUGCGUAAUGUUAGAAUGUGACGAUAUUAUGGAAUAUCCAAUAAUAUUUUCGUUAUGGCAAACAAAGUUUUCGCCUGCGGACUUAAAACCUAAGGGUUUGUGAAAGAGGUUUCCGAAAAGGAAAUGUAAUGCGUAUAGUCGUUUCGAUUAUUAUACGUAAGGAAUAUGAGUAUUAUACUAGUAUGUAUACGGGUAUGGUAUGAAGAAUAGUAAGAAGUAUAAUACGAUUAUUAUAUGAGUAUUAUACGAAGAGAAUACGUGAAUAAUACGCGUAGAAUACGAAUUGUAUUAUUAGAAUAUGAGCUAAGGAUUUUUAUCCAAUCCAAUUGGACUUGGAUUAAUAAACAAGCCCAAUGAAUUAAGGAUACAAGCCCAAGCCAAGGCCCAAUAUUAGAUUGGUUAAAGCCCAAUGUUUUUAUGUCAAGCCCAAUCCAAAAAGUAACCCGCGGGUCGAACCGGUGAGUCAAGGGAUGGGUAAAACCCAUGGGGCAACCCAUGGGGAUGACCCAUGUACAAGGCGGGCCGGCCACUUGGUGUGCAAGCCAAGUGUGUCACUUGGUCACCAAGUAUUUUCCUUGGUGACAAAGUUGUAAUUAAGUGAGGAGGUGGUGAAUUGGACAAUUUUGCCCCUCAUUUGGUUUUCUAUAAAUAGAAAGCUAAGAGUUGGAUUUUUGUUGUUUUACAAAGUUUUUCCAACAUAUUUGAGAGAGAGAAAAGAGCUAGAAUCCUAUAACUCUUCUACUUCCAAGCAAACCAAAAGACGUUUAUCAAGAACGUUAACUACUUCGAAGGUAAAUUCCUAUAAACCGUAAUCUUCAUCCUUUUCGAUUUCUUUCUCAUAAGAAGAAUCGUAGAUGAGUGGAGAGCGUUUAUGGAGAAGAUAUAAGAAUGCCUAUUAAUGACCAAAUCAUUGAUAGGUCUUGACCAAAUAGAAAUCGUAAGUGGUUAUGUGAGUAAAAACCAUAGAAAGUCUUGAAAGUUAACUUAGUUAUAAUUGAACGUUUUGGAAACCGUUGUAGCUAAGAUAUGUGUAACUUGAUUGGUUAGGAUAUAGAUAUGAAGUCCAUGGAGUAUUCCAUGUGAUUUGGCUUAGAGCACAUUAGUAACGAAGUUAUGGCAGAUUUUGCGGAAAUAGAUGUUAAACGUCGAAAACGCAUAAAGUCCGGAUUAAAGGUCAAAAUUUGCCGUGUGACUUGAAAACAUCAGUUUCCAAUGUCAACACGUGAGAUAAGGUAAUCAAGAGUCGUUGGUGAAGGAAUCGUCGCAUUCCGACUUAUAACGAAGAAAACGAGUAUUGAACGGGCAAAAACGUUAAAUGAACAUCUAAAAAUGAACCUAAAGGUGAAUUCCGAGUUAACGGAUUCAAAAAGGUGAAAUUCUUAUACGAACACGUAAAGGAUGUAAUAUGUGACUUGUAGGAAUUCGAAUGGGUCAAUUCGGAUGUAAAACGAACAAAUUAGGAAGCCGAGAGUUUCAUUAGGAAACCAAAUCUGUUUUGGCUAACUGCUGCACAGACUCGGCGCCGCAGCGCCAAAACCAGUACAAAGUGGUGGCGCCGCAGCUCCAGACUCGGCCGAGUACCCUGCUAACUCGCGCCGCAGCGCCACUAAAACAUAAGGGAUGCCGCGCCGCAACGCCGGCAGUGGGAAAAAGUUGACCAAGUUAAGUUUAGUUCCCUUUCGAAUGUAGACCUAAAGUAAGAUGUUAAAGGUACUUAAAGUACAUAAUGAGACUUACUUUAAAACACUUAUAAGAUGUUAAUGUAAGAAGAACGGGUAAGGUUUAAUGGAAAUUAAACGAAGAUCACAAAUACGUAAUGAGUGAACCGUAAACGACAUUCAACGUUGGUAAUUAACCAUUAAUGAUCGAAUGACGGCUAAGGACGUAAGAACGUUAAUGAAACGUAACGAAGUAUAGAGAGUCGAAUCGACUUUAAUAACAGAGUUAAAACAAGUAAGACAUAGAAGAGAAAGAAGUUGGUUAGAACCGUAAAGUGAGUUUGUUUGAUAACUAAUUACAGUGUGCUAUGUGAAUGUAUCAUGUAGAUCCUGUAAAGACUGAGAAUAGUUGGAAUAUAUAUUCGAAGACUCUUGAAGGCAAGUCUUUCUUAACUCUUGUCUGACCUUCGAGUUAGUCAAGUUUUUACGUGAUGCAUGGUAUACAAUGCAUGAAUGGUAAAUAGAAAAGAGUCGAUGCCUGUUUUAUCCGGGCUAGACAAGUAUUGAAGGAUAGAUUGAAUUGUUUACAAGUCUGUUGAUAUAGAAUUGUUAAUGCUAUCCUAUGCCAAGUAUUUGGUACGGAUGAGAAGGUAAGUUUGUCUAUGAACAAACAAAAAUUUUUUCCUCGAUUAUUCGAUGGGCACGCGAGGUUGCCAAAUAUUAAAGGUAAAUACGUUUAACGUAAUAGUGUUGAUCAACAUAGAGUACAAUAGGCUGAUCACCUAUAAGUGCUCUUAAGUAAAGAUGGGUGGAUGGCCUUAGUGCCGAAUAUCCUUUUCAACUAUGAAAACGAAAAGAGUAUGUUCAUGGUCUAUUGACCGGUUCAUCAUUCCUAAGCUAUUAUAUAUGCUCUGGAAUUGUUGUAGUAGAAGUAUUAGUCAAAUGAUUCAGAAUGCUUCAUGAAUAAUUUUUCUGAUAUUGAUAUAAAGCAUGUAAUUAUUGAUGUGAUAUUCAUAUGUUUUGUUGUUAAGACUUGCUGAGCUAGUUAUGCUCAUUCUUGCUUGAACCAUAUGUUUGCAGCUAAAGCCGAACGAACUGAGAGUUCUAUGAGAGAUAAAGGAAAGGCUAAGAUGGACAAUUAAUCAUCCUGUAAUAGACUAGUAUAUUUGUAUGUAAUGUACUUAUGAAGAACAACGAAUGUAUUCGUUUAUGAACCUGGGAAAGGAUUUAUUACAUAUGUAAUACAAAGAUAGUAAUUACACUCAUUUUGUUAUUAUUUCAAUGGAAUGAUUGUAUGAACUGUAGUAUCGUGGAGCACCAUCUGUCGGGUUGGAAGAUACCCGGAUUUGGGGGCGUCACAAUUAGAACGGUGGUCUAUAGCUGUUGAGGUUCUCCCUAAAUAGUAUGAAAAUAAUUUUAUUGAGAACUUUAGAUAAGGGUGUCGUAUUGUAUACGUCAUUUAAUAUUUAAUUUUGGUGAACUGAAUAGGGUGAGGUGAACCCAACUUUGAAAUGGUGUUUUGCCACUAUCAUACAAGAUGUCUAAUGAUAUACAACCUCGUGUUAUCAUAAGACAGGGUUGUGCGCAUCAACUUGCUGAGUAUAUCUACGGGCACUACCUAUAUGAUCUUGGAGUUUAUUUGAAAUAUAAUAUUCACUUGGAGACAGUGGAUAUAGUUAUAUGUCAAGAGAAGACUCACCAUUGGAAAGAAGAUAAUAGUAAUCUUCUCGUUUAUCUUUGGGGUCUAUUGGGUCAACCAAGGAUAAUUCUGUGGAGAUAUGAUAUCUAUUAUAACCUAGACGCAUGGCAUCCCAUGUACGAAGGUUUCCUUGAGCACUUCCCAAAGAUUUUAAUUUCUAAAACAGUAUUUGACUAUAAUUUUAUGCAAAGUACCAUUGUAAGGUUGUGGUCGAGGCACCAUGAGAGUUAAAUACAUUUGUAUUAAAACUCACAGUUAACUGUGGUCGUAUUCUAUACGACAGUUCAACAGUUGUAUAAAUGAAGUUGUAUUUGAAUUUUGUACCAUGUAUCUGGCGACUCAGAAUGGGUGAUGUAUACCUAAUUUUGGGGGCGUCACAUUUGGUAUCAGAGCUUAGGGAUAUGGUCGCUGGUGGAGAUAAGAGUCUAGAACUAGGAGGGGAGAGACGAGUUAUAUACUUCGCUAGUGUAAGACUUACCUAAGCUGAAAUUGUUUACUUGAUAAGUUGACAAAUUGUGAUAUGUCAAUUAACCUUUGUUUUGAAGCUAUAUUCUAGAAUGAUAUCUGAAAUACAGGAGAUGAGAAAUGGGAAAAUCAUGAUAGCGAGGAAAUUACCGGGAAGGUGCAAUCUGAAAAGAAAGCAAGGUAUUCUCAUUCCUUCAAAUAUCAGGUACGUACGUAAAUUUCGAGGGCGAAAUUUCAUAAGGAGGGGAGAUUGUAAGACCCCAGAUUUUAUGAAUAAAGAUUUAAUUUUCUCAAUUUUUUUAAUAUUAUGGUGUGGAUUUGAUAUAAUGUUAUAGUUGUGGGUAAUAUUUAUAAAUUUUGAAAAGUAUGCAAGUUGUUAUAAAAUAUUCGAUUAGUCAGGGAAUAUUCUUUUUUUCGGGGAAUAUCCGUACGACGGCACAAUCAUUGGUGGACCUCACGACGAAAGUAUUGUCGUAUUUAGAAAACGACAGAAUUAUCUUUUUAUAAAAUAACGGCGGAAGUGUUACCGUUAAAACUGUUGAACUACCCGGUAGUAAAAAUACAGUAAUACGCGUGGUUGCAUAGUAGCACACGGUGUUGGUUAUUAAUGCUUACGUGAUAAGUCACUCAAUUUUAUUUUAUCAGUAUUAUUAAUGUAAUAAAACAGAAAAAACUUUUUAUAUAAAACAGAAUAUUUUUAUAAAGUUAUUCUAUAAAUAGAAUAUAUUAUAUUCUAUUGUGCAUAGUGUUUUGCAUAGUAAAAUCUUUUUAUAUAAAACAGAAUACUUUUAUAAAGUUAUUCGUUUUAUUAGAUUAUAAAUAGAAUAUAUUAUAUUUUAUUUAAAAGAUUUUGCUUUAAAUAUGGACCGUCCGAUUAAAAGUAAAUCAAUCUGGACCGUUCAUGAAUUAGUUACUAUGCAGUCCAUUAUUCUAUAAAUAGAAGCUCAUUCCUUCAUUAUUUCUUACGAAUUCACUGAAACUCUAGAGAGAGAAACUAUAGAGAGAAUUCUUCUUCUAUAAUCUUGAGCGUAUUUCUUUAGAGUUUAAGAAAGCUUUGAGCGUAGUACAAGUUUUCUUUGAGUAUAUCCUCGCCCUACCAGUCGGAAUACUCUUCUUUCAAAGGUAAGGGAUAUUAUUUGUUAUACUCGUAAGGGAUAUUAUUUGUUGUACUCGUAAGGGGUAUUAUUUCUUUCGUAUUCAUGAAGAGAACUUCUGUUAUUCCAUUCUUUAUUAUUUUAUUGAAAUAACCUGUAUACGCGGUCUACCUUAUACUUGGUGAAAUUCUUCUGAUAUUCCAUUCUUUAUUAUUAUGUUGGAAUAACCUGUCUAUGCGAAGUAUCGCAUACAUGGUGAAAUUCUUCUAUUAUUCCAUUCUUUAAUUAUUCAGUUGGAAUAACCUGUCUGUGCAGUCUAUCGCAUGCAUGGUGAUUUCUGUUGUUAUUCCAUUCUUUAUUAUUCUAUCGAAAUAUCAUGUCUGUGCGUUUACGCCGGACCUGGUUCCAUUAUUUAUUAUUCUGUCGGAAUAUCCUGUCUGUGCAUUUACGCUGGACCUGGUUCCAUUAUUUAUUAUUCUGUUGGGAAUAACCUGUUUGUGCAGUCUAUCGCAUGCACGGUGAAUCCUUCUGUUAUUCCAUUCUUUAUUAUUCUGUUGGAAUACCCUGUCUAUGUGGAUUAUCACAUGCAUGGUAAAUGAUCCUUUGUAUUCAUUCCUUAUUAAAUUGUGAAAAUGAUCUGUAUACGUGGAUUACCGCAUGGCGGGUAAAAAUCCAUUUGCAGUUUCACAUAUUCUUUUAUACUCAGUUGGUUAAAGCUUUGACUUCUAUACUCUAUGAAAUUAGAGGAAUAUCCUUGACAUUUACGCUUCAUCCAGUAUCUUUUCAUGAAAAUAUUCUUUUGAGCAUUCUUGAAUUUUACUCUACAAAGAAGUAUCAUGUUGACAAUUUGGACAUUAUUGAGUUCAGGAUAAAUUAACUUAUAAAUCUUUAAAAUUAAUUCUUGAACUUGUUUUAUUAAAUUAUUAUGUCAUUGUCAAGAUGAGUUAUGUUGGUUAUUAUGUGAACACAGGAAAGUUUCUUAGAAAUCACAAACGGUUAAAAAUCAGCUUUUGGUGAAAAUGAAACAUGAAAUUCAAUUGACCGUAUCUCCUAUUAUGUUUCGAAUUUUUGAGUGUGGUCAAGUUCUAGAGUUAGAUAUAUGAGUUUCCUAACUUAUCCAAGUGGAAUCACUGGAAAAGGUAUUGUAGAUUUUCGUGUGUACUUAUUUUAGCAAAGGAGUCAAAAGUUGUAAAUUACAAAAAAGCUACUGCCCAGAAGUUUAAAAGGGUAUUUUGGCCACUUAAAUUGUGAGACAAAUUUUCGCCUUUUGGGACAUACAUAUAUAUGGUAUAAAGUACCUCCUGUCCAAAAAUGAGUUCAUUCCGACUUAAAAUGAGCAAGUUAUGACCAUUUCAAUAUUUAGGUUUUUCCGACGGAAAAUGCUAUAACCGGAGUUCUAUAACUCCGAUGACCAUGAAAUUUAAACUGGAAGCUCACGUUAACAUGUGUAAGAUCCUGCCAAGAUUUGGAAAUUUAUGGAGUUAACCUUGAGGUAGCUAAUUUUUUAAGGAAUUAAUUAGAAAUUGAUUUUUGAAAAAUAGUAAAUGAAAUUUAAAAAUUCUGAGAAAAAUAUAUGUUCAAUACGGGACUAUAUUCUGCUAAAUCCCAGAAAAGAAAUAUUUUUGGGACUGAUUUGAUAUUUUUCAUGAAAAUGGUUUAGUUACGAACAUAUGAGUUAAAUAUGUUAUGUGAAGUAACAAAGUUGGAAAAUAGGAUUUUAUGGCUUGGAAAUCCUAUAUAAGGUAUAUGCAGAUUUUUGAUGAGGGAUUUGAUCAUUGGUGAUGAAAUCUUAUGAGUAUGGCAUUUUUGAAUGAUUAAAUGCAUUAUUUGGUAAAGUGUAAACAAUUGAAAUAAAUUGUUUAUAAGUUUAAGAAGUGAUUAAAAUAUUGUUAUAAUAUUAAUAAUAUUAGAUUAUGAGUUUAUUAAGUGAUUGAUAAUAUUUGGAUAAAUUUAAAGUCUUUAAUAUUUAUCCUUGUUUUCGUUUGAUUAAUGCUUAUAUCAUUGUCAUCAUCCUCAUGUUUAUAUUAUGUUGAAAGUCAUAUGUGGCCUGUAGUGCAUAGAUGGACUUGGUAUGAUUAUGACCAGGGAUUAUUCGGUAUAAUCAUGACCAUAAUGUUACAAAUGAUGUGGAAAAAGUCCUCAUUGGCCCGUAGUGCAUUGAUGGACAGUUUUUGGUAUGAUUAUGGCUAUGGAUUCUCUUGUUCAUACGCAUCAGCUACAUGUCUGUAGCUUGAGCAACUUUAACUUUAUCAAUUAAAGUCGGUUCUACUUGUAUGCUUGAUAUCAUCACGUGGGUACUUGGAGCCUUUAUCUCUAUCUCCAUCCUUUGCAAGUCAUACAAAAUGGGCCUUUGUGUUAACAGCAUUACACUUGUACCCGCAUAUCAUCUUCUACUCAAUGCGUCAGCUACCAUGUUUGUUUUUCCAGGAUGGUAUUGGAUGGUAUGGUCAUAAUCUUUCAAUAACUCGAGCUAACGUCGUUGCCGCAUGUUGAGUUCCUUUUGGGUGAAGAAAUAUUUGAGACUUUUAUUGUCUGAAUAUAUUUCCACUUUCUCCCCAUAUAAAUAGUGCCUCCAGAUCUUUAGCAUGAAAAUGACUGCUGCCAACUCUAGAUCAUGACUAGGAUAAUUCCUCUCAUACUCUUUAAGUUAUCGCGAGGCAUAGGCUAUGAAUUUCCCAUGUUGCAUGAGAAGACAUCCUAACCCUUUGCCCGAAGCAUCACUGUAGAUAACAAAUCCAUCUGAACCAGACGGUAUUGUCAGAACAGGUGUCGAAAUAAGUCUCCUCUUGAGAUCUUGGAAACUCAUCUCGUAUUCAUCGCUCCAUACGAAUUUUGUAUCUUUACGAGUCAGCUAAGUUAACGGAGUAGCGAUUCGAGAAAAUCCUUCCACAAAUCUAUGAUAAUAACCAGCUAAGCCCAAAAAGCUACGUACUUUGGUCACCGAUUUCGGUUACUCCCAACUUUGUAUUGCUUCAAUCUUCGUCGGGUCAAAAGAUACUCCAUGUUUUGACACCACGUGCCCAAGGAAUGCUACUGCCUCAAGCCAUAACUCGCAUUUCUUCAGCUUGGCAUAUAACUUGUUAUCACGAAGCCUUUGCAGUACCAGCUUCAAAUGGCGCUCAUGAUCUUCACGGCUUUUGGAAUAGAUGAGGAUGCCAUCAAUAAAGACAACAACGAAUUGAUCCAAAUAUUCCUUGAAUACUCGGUUCAUCAUAUCCAUGAAAGCAGCAAGAGCAUUAGUUAAUCCAAAAGACAUUACUAAGAAUUCAUAAUGCCCGUAACGAGUUCUGAAGGCUGUCUUUGGAAUAUCCUCAGUUUUAACCUUCAGCUGAUGAUAUCCAGAAUGAAGAUUGAAUUUUUGAAAAGAAUUGUGUUCCUUGCAACUGGUCAAACAGGUCAUCAAUGCGAGGUAGUAGAUACCUAUUCUUGACGGUGACAUGGUUCAAUUCUCGAUAGUCAAUACAAAGUCGCAUACUCCCGUCUUUCUUCUUUACAAAUAAAAUAGGAGCACCCCAAGGAGAUGUACUAGGACGAACGAAACCGAUGUCCAACAACUCAUGUAGUUGGACCUUUAACUCAUGAAGUUCAAUAGGAGCCAUUUGAUAUGGGGUUUUAGAAAUGGGCUUUGUAUCAGGUUCAAGGUCAAUAAAGAAUUCAACUUCACGUUCUGGGGGUAGACCGAGAAGUUCUUCAGGAAAUACGUCAAAAAAUUCUCUAACAACAGAAAUAUUAUUCAAAUAUGACGUGUUUUUGUUCAAGUCUAUGACAUGGGCUAAGAAAGCAUGACAUCCAUUUUUUAAUAAGCGAAUAGCUUUAUGGCUUGAUAUGACAGUGAUUGACCUUAGAGGUUUGGUUGCUUGAAUUCGCAUAACAGGUUGGUUAGGAAUAUGAAAACUAACAACCUUACAAAAACAAUCAAUUUUAGCAUGAUGAGUGGUUAACCAAUCAAUCCCUAAAAUCACAUCAAAUGCAAGUAUUUUCAAAGAAAUAAGAUCAACAGGUAAUGUGAUGGUACCAACUUGGAUCAAACAAGAUUUAUAAACAAUGGAUGCAAUGAAAGUUUCUCCUAACGGAGUCUCCACAGAUAAGAAGUGUAAUUUCUCCGGAGUCAAGUUUAAACGUUGAGCAAAAGUAGGAGAGAUAAAUGAAUGGGUAGCACCGGUAUCUAAUAAGGUAUAAACUUUGCAAGAAUUUACGAUUAGCUUACCAGUGAUCACCUCGUUUUGGUUCCUCACAUUUUGACCAGUCACAACAAACGCCAUUCUAGGAAACGUUGACUUUGACAUUUCUGGGACAGCCUUUUGAGUCACCAUCCCCACUGGACUUGGUUUCGCUACCGUACAAUCUCGAGCGAUAUGUCCUUCCUUUCUAUAAUUAUAGCAUACCUUGAACUGUUGUGGACAGUUUGGGCUGAUGUGUCCCUCUUUUCCACAUUUAUAGCAUACGGCCGGUGGUCGUUCUCCUCCCUUAAAACCAGUUGCUGCUGGUGCUGACGUCUUCACAGUGUCAUUGUUGAAUCUCCUCUUUUUAAAAUCUCCCCCCGACUCGCUUCUUCUAUUUUCAUGGUCACGAUUACCACCAGAGUGGUUACCGCUUUUGUCCGAAUGUUCUCCUCCUCGCUGGUUUUCAUUGCUCCGAUGACUACUGCCACCGGUAUGACCCUCGUUAUGGUCCCUCGGUUAAACGUACUCGUUAUCUUGCUCUAAUAAUUGACCCCUAUUGACAACAUCUCAAUAUAAAGAAAAUUUAUGAGAGAUAAGAUAUUGCCGAAUCUCGGGUUUUAAACCUCUCAGAAACAUCCUCGUCAUUCGUUCCUCAUUCUCUACCAAAUGAGGUGCAAACCUGGAUAACUCUGUGAACUUCACCUCGUACUGGGACACCGUCAUGUUGUUUUGUUCUAAUCUAAUAAACUCCACCUCCUUCAUAUGGUGAAUACUUUCAGGAAAGUACUUAUCAUUGAAAAGUUUCUGAAAUGUUUCCCAAGACAUGCUGAGUGCGGCAGGCUGAGUACGCUUCACAGAUGUGACGCCCCCAAAAUAGGUAUACAACACCCAUUCUGAGUCGCCAAAUACAUGGUACAGAAAGCAAAAUAUAACUUCAAUAAUACAAUUGUCGUGCAAAAUACGACAACACAAACUGUGAGUUUAAAUACAAAUAUUGUAUACUAGAGAGUAUACAAACUCAAAAGGAGUCCUCAUUACAAUUAUUCAAACACUAUUUUACAGAAAUAGUGAGGACUGCUAAAACAUCUUUCUAGAACCAUCACUCCAUACCCCGACUAGUUCCUGCUAUGUUCUCACCUCCUGAGAAAAAUUGAACAAAAAGGGAAAGGGUGAGCUCAACUAGCCCAGUAAAAAAUAUUAUGACUAAGAUAAUAUACAACAAAUUAUCGUUAGUCUUCAACAUGGAAAAAUCUGAUAAAACAUAAUAGACAACAAGUUUUAGAUCAACAACUGCAACAGAACAACAAUCCAUUAGAAGAGUCAAGUAGAGAAAGAAUUCUACUAUCUUCUAAGAUUUAAAAGUCCAUCAUCAAUAUUUUAUCCCCGUAACAACAAUCAAUAUACAUCUUUAAUCAAAUAUCCAUCUUUGCACUACAGGCCAAAGAUAUUCAUUUGUAUCACCAGUUGGUCAUGUUCAUCUCAACACCUGUUCAUCUUUCCACUAUGGGCCAAAGAUAUUCAUUAGGUAAUCAUUCAUCUUUGCACUACAGGCCAAAGAUAUUCAGUAAUAUCAUCAUUUAGGACUGAGGAUGAUGAAAAAUAUUUUAAAGGAACGAAUCCAGUGAAACAAAAUAACAAAUGUUAGAUAUUCGUAUUACAGUUUAUCCAAGAUCAAUAAUACUCCAUAAUAACCAAUUUCGAAGCAAAAUUCAAGAAUAAAGAUCAAAACAUGGAUACAAUCAAAGAUAAUAACCA